UAGAAAUAAUAAACGCAUUAAUUAACACUAUAAGUGAAAAACUAAUAAUUUUAUCUUUAAUGAAAUUACAUUUUUUAGUGUCAAUCAUAUCCCCCAACCAGCUUAUUGCUAAGUCCUAACAAUUUAAGUGAUAAAAAUCUAGUAAAUUUCAAACCCAAAUUGAAAUCUCUUUUAUUUUUUGAAAAUUGUGUAUACUUCUUUAAUCAAAUUAAUGACAACAAUCAAAUAAAAGUAUAAGUAUUAUCUUCGGCCUAAAGAAAAUCACACCUACCUAAAUCAUGUUAGCCUAUAUGGCUAUAAAUAUUGAUUUUGAUGAUAACAAACCACAUGUAUUUAUUAAGUAAAGAUUUAUGAAUUGUGCUUUUAUAAUAAGAAAAUGAUGUUAUGCAAUUAAAGUAUUUUGGACUAAAAUGAAAGUAAUUUCAAAAUCUUUGAUAGUGUUUUAAAUUUCAGAUUUAGACCUAUUUGAAACUAUUUAAAUAUUUUUGGGUCAUUCUAUAAUUUCACCAGUUUAGGCGAAAUCAUAAUUUCAGAAAGUUUGGGAUUAACGAAGAAUUAUUUAGAAAUUCUGAAAUUGGACUUAUUUGCAAAGUUUUAUAACGUUUUGGGCCAUCCUACAGUUUUAUAAAGUUUUAGGGUCAAACUGAAAAUUUGGGAAAAAUUUCACUGUAGCAGGUUACUGUAGCAAGCGGAUAUCCGGAUUCUGAAAAUCGAAAAUCCGGAUAUGGGCAGCAAGCGUCCAGAAAGAAAAAGGUUUACCGGAUUCCGAAUCCGGCAAGCCGGUUAGGCAAAAUUUUGAAUUUUACCUUAACAGUAACAUAAAUCCGGCUUACCGGAUUCCAUAAACGGCAAAUCGAAUACGCCUGGAAUGUGAGUAACGGCUAGUUUUUGAGCUCAAACUAUAAGAACUCAAAUCCAACUCAUUUUGAAGCUCUCCAACAAGCAAAAACAAAAAGCACACAUGAUAUCUUGAGCUUACAACUUGCAAGACACAAAACAUUGAAUCAUCCAUUGUUCUUCAUCUUUGAAUAUCUACUCAUUGAGUGAGUUUGAUUGUAACUUUCAUUUCUUCAAUUCAUUUGUAAGAGUUUGAGUGUGUGAGACACUUGAGUGAAGAGAUUGGGAGAUAAUCUCUUUGUUGUAAAGGUUUAUUGACACCUCAAAGUCAAUUGUAAUCGGUUGAAGCCUCGGAAAGGCUUGGAUAGUGAAAUCCUCAAGCUUGGAUUGCUUGGAGGCGUGGACGUAGGCGGGGAUUGUCGAACCACGUAAAAAUUUGUGUGUUUGUUUCUCUUCUCCCUUACUCUUUAAUUAUCGUGCCUUUAUUAAACUUAUUGCUUUCAAUUUUUAUUAAGGCAUUAGAUUGCUUGUUGUGUGGAUUUGCUAGGUUAAUUUUUAAAUUUCCAAUUCACCCCUCCUCUUGGGUUGCACACUUAUAUUUCAAAUCAGACAAGUAAAAUCAUGCAAAAUGAUCAAUUAUAAGAGCUACAUUAAUCAAGCAACUUUUAAGAAUGAUAUGUCAAACCCUAAAUCAGAGUAACUAUCUCAAAAAAAAAAAAACCCAAUAAAACAGUCACUCUAAUAAGUGAUAGAUUGAGAGGAUAGUAAAACAAUAUCACACACUAUCAUCAAGAUGAAAGAAUAAUACCCAUAACUUAGAAAUAAAAUGAUCUCAAGCGUAGGGAAUUACUAGCCAAACCAAUUUGUUUUCAUUUUUAUGUAUCACCGCAUCUGUUAAUCCAUAUUACUGGCUUCUACUUCAAACUAUAGUUCCCCAAAAAUAAGAAUGACUUUCACUAGGAUGUAACAUAGGUUAGGGACAUGGCUAACAAAGAAGGGAUAAUAGGAAAAACAAAAUAUAUGUUUGAAAAAUAAAGGACUUUUAGAGAUUGCAAGGUGCUUUUCACUUGGAAUUUUUUUCUUUUUUUUCUCUUUUUUCAUAUUCUUAUUUUUAUUUCAUUUUAUUUAUUUUUUAUUUUAUUUUUUUAUAGUACCAUUUUCACGAAAUCCAUAAUCAUCCCUGUUUUCAAACAAAUUGGGUGGUGGAAAACAUAAUAUAUAAGGUGAUAUUCCACAUUGAGGUGGGACAAGGUAAUAGGUUACCAAAGAAAAAUAUUUGCUUUUUAAUAUAUAGGCUCAAAAGAGUUAAUUAUGGAUACUUUAUAAUAGAGAUGGCUAAAAAUGCUCAAACAGAUCAAAGAUGACCUUUCUACUAUCUUUUAGGGCUCUAAAUAAUUUUUCAUAUCCAUUAGUUCAAUGGACUUUCAGAUGAAACUGGACAAUUUUUUUUUCAUUCCAUUCAUUUUUUUCACUUUUUUUGGGUUUCACUUUAAAGAAAAUACAAAGAUCUUGUAUAAUUAAUUGUGAAGCAAUAUAGGCAAACAAGGUUACUCUCUAAGGAUAAUAGACUCAAAAAUUCACUUAAAUUUACUAUGACAUUUACAUUUCUUCAAAUGGCCUAAUCAGUUUCAUUCAUCAAAUUCCACAAUUUUACAAUCCAACAUGCAAAGUGGAAAACAUAGUGUAACAUAACUCAAGAUUAAAGAUAAUACAAAUACCAAAAUUUGGAAGUCAUCAUGUUAUCUAAUAUUAAAAUAUCACACAAAAAACAAAACUUUUUUUGGUUUUUUUUAAAGUCAAAGAAAACAUAACAAAAGAAGAAGUUGAAGCGAUCUGUUGUGUAUUCAGUGAAUCAAAUCAAAGAGGAUGAAACGACAGAGUUAGCUUGCGUUUUGUGAUACUCGAUAACUUCAGUAAAACGACACUUAAAGACUGCGUUUUAUGAAGUAAAUGUUUUGCUUGCUACAACGACAUACAGUCUUGCCGUUUUGAAGUUAAUAGAACACGAGCAGAACACGUGCAUACAAAAGGUUGUUAAAGGGCCGUUAUUGCACAUGGUCCUCACGUGCGUUUCUGGGAAGCCUCUGAGGUGGUUUAUAAGCUGUGAUGCUCAGCUGGAAACGGGGUGUGUGUUGGUUGAGAGAGAGAGCAUUGUAACGAGAGAAAGAAAGCUUGAGACUGAGAGUUUUCUUGUUCCUGUUGAGUGCUUGUUAAUCUCUGUAAUCAAGUCUUGAAGUCAUAUCAAUGAAGCUGUUAAGUUUGUUCCCCCGUGGAUGUAAGUCAGUGCAAAUUGACUGAACCACGUUACAUAGUUGUGUUCUGUGAUUUCUUGAUUUCAAUUCGUUUCUUUGUUUGUUUCUAAACACAAUCCUAGUCUUAGUAAUAGGUCAUUAAUCCAUUAAGCUUUCUGGUUGUCUUUGGGAGGCAUCUUGAUUGAUUCUAAUCCAAGAUCCUUUGGGAAGUGUUCUGUAAAGCUUCUGUUUUCAGCUUAUCAGAAUCUUCACGAUCACAUCUGAAUUGAUUGCCAAAAGUUUAAAAGGGAUGAUUAAGAAAAAAAAGUUAGAAAAUAGAUUCUUUUUUUAAAAACAAACAAAACUCUAAGACUAAGAAGAUGUGGUUUUAGAGUCACUAUACUAUAUAUUCAGCCAUUUUCGACUCAAAGUUAGUAUUUACAAUAAAAAUUAGUAAAAACAUAACCAGGACUGUGACAUUCCAUAACUGUCAACUAUUCCUUCCCUUUAAACCUAAAUGAGACAUUGUCCUUAAUGUCUUAGAAGAAAUAAGUAGAAUUUAGAAGACAUUACCUGACCACUGCUAGAAAAUAUUUACAAACAAAGAGUUAAAUCUAAUUUACACUUCUUACGAAGGUUACUACCAUUAUCAUCAGUUGACCAAUCCAACGCCAAAGUCAUGGGAUCUAGCUUUAGCUUGUAAGCUUGCAAAAGAUCAAGUAACUCGCUAGCAAUAAGAGCACAAAUAAAGAGUUUUUCCAUUGAGGAUGGAUGGAAAUAAUUCUUUUGCAUGAUUAAGAAAUGUUAUUAAGCCAUCAUAAAAGUUAUUUACAUUUAAUAAACUGAUGGGUUUUUUAUGGAUAUUCAAAUAAGUUCAAGAAGCAAAUGUAAUUAGCGCCUCUAAAGUUACAAUAUCUCCCAACAAGAAAAUGAAGGCAUCAGCAAGAUUUAAAAUUUUGAAUAUUCUUUUUUGCAUACUUAAGACAAUUAAUUAUUCUUCAAUUGGUGGGCCAGGCGAACAUCCCAAAGUUUUUAAGGCUUUUGGAAUGAUGUCAAACAGUUGGCUUCCUUGAACAAAACCAGCUUCUUAGACAAGUUUUAAUAGCGCUCGGUCACCUCCUCCAUAUGUAAGAUGUAGUUUUCUCUCUAUUAUAACAUAACCAAGAUCUACGGCUACUUGAACGAACUCGUUAUACUUUUUAUAGCGAAACCCAGAAAUCACACAAAUGUUCUUAAGUUGUCUGUUCGAAGUUUCUGCCAUUGGAACAAUUCUUAAAAAAAAAUUGUGAGUGCUUGAAAAGGAGAACAUACUUAAACACUACAAGAAAACAGGCAAUAGAUGACGGGAAAUAACCGUCAUAAAGAAAGGUGCAUGACAAACAAUAUAUUUCAUCUAUGUCACUAUCAUUAAUUUAUGAUAGCAUUUUUCCCGUCAUGAGUUUAUGAUGGCUGUUAAAAGUCAUACAUACGUCACACUACAUUUUAGUGGGAAAUCAAAAUUAUUUAAAUAUUUAGGAAUUUUUUGGCCAGAAAAUUAGUAUUAUUUCAAUUAAAUUAUGUAAAAAUAUUAUUAUUGUAAAUUUUAUUAUUAUUUUUACUAAAUUAAUAUUAAAUUUAUUUAUUAUUACUAUUUUAAAAAUUCUAUAAAUUUGUUUUUAUAAAUGAAGUUGGUCAAUAUAAAAUAAAUACAUAAUAUAAUACUAGUAAUUAAAAAUCCAAUAAAUAAAAUACAUGAAAUUUUAUAUAUAUUCAAACUACAGUUAAAUACAAACUAUGUCACUAAAGCAUCUAAACUACAUCAAUCCCAAAUUUUCAAAAGAUAUCCUAAAAUAAAGAAAAAAUAUCCACCGUCCACCUGUUUUUUCCAACUUUUUUAAAAAUACACAAUUCUUUUUUUUUUUUGCUGAAAUCCACCUAAAAUUACAUUUUGUUUCACUAUUCCACUUCCUUUGAAAUCCGUUAAGAAAACUAACGGAAACGUAAAAAAAUGAUAAUUUUACCCCCAAAACGAAAAUUACAAUUUCACUUUAAAAAAUGCCAAAAAUAAUCAGAUUUAAUGAUAAUUUUACUUUCUUUAUUAACCGAUGGGGAAAAUAUUUAGAUUUAAUUUGAUUAUUUUUGGCAAUUUUUAGGGUGAAAUUGUUAUUUUCGUUUUGGGGGGUAAAAUGGUCAUUUUAUUAAGUUUUUGUUAGUUUUCUUAACGAAUUCCAAACAGAAGUGGAAAAGUGAAACAAAAUGUAACUUUAAGUGGAUUUCAGCCAAAAAAAAAAAAACAAUUGUGUAUUUUUGAAAACGUUGGAAAAAACGGGUGGACGUUGGAUAUUUUCCCUAAAAUAAAUAAUCACCAACAUCAAAAUACUUGUACAAAAAAUCAAAGUCCACCAAAUUCCAGUGGUAAAUCACUUGUAGAGUCUAAGUAGCAAGAGACCAGCAAUUCUUCCCAGUUCCUUCGAUCACCACCACUAUUUUUGUCUGCCCUUCAGAUUAUUGUUGUUGCCUCUCCAUUCGCUUAGCAUGCCCUUAAUUGUAGUAUCUACAAAUCCCUUAUAUGCAUACAUGGAUUAUAGCAACAUGUAGAAAACAAUGUUUAACAAGCAUUUUACUAUUCUCUAAGGGGGAAAAAACAUUUUACUAUUUACCGAUCAAAGAACCUACAACAAGUAGAAUAGGCUUAAAAACUAAGAAUCAACAUAAACAUCUUUCGCUAAUACUCACAUAAAUAUUUAUAUAACCUUAAGCAUCCAGGAACCAAAAGCAAUUUACAUGUUGCACUUAUCAAAUGUACAGUAGAAUAGAGAAAAGGAGAAUAAUUGCAAGCAUAACAAAAAAGGAAAAAGAACAAAAGUGAUGAUUUCAGUUAGAGAAAGAAUUGUCCUCAUUGUAGUUUACUUCCUUGUCAGCCAAUACACAUCAGUAAAGGAAACUCAUAUUUUGAUGCCAUAAUAAAGACAAAAAUCAACUAAAAAGCUAUUUGUAUUACAUAUUUUGUUGGAUAAUAAGAACAUAAGGUUGAUAACAAAUUUAAGACUCUAAUGGAAAAGAAACUAUCAUCAAAUUCUCUAAUUUUCCUCUGCGGAAAAGGGGCAUAAUAGGAUUGAUCCAUUUACAAUUCCAAUCAUAUUCAUAGAUUUUAGUUACCAACUAUCUUUGUGACUUAAAAUAGUCUGCAAAAUACCAUUAAGAAUACCUAGAAAAGAAUUAACAAUUUUGAAACUAACAUCAUACUUAAUGUCAAGAGCCUUGCAGUCAUAUUCCUCACAAAAGUAAUACAGGUAUGGAGUUAUUUGCACAAAGCAAACUUGUGCAAUGGUAAUCCUCAUAAGCCUGAGAAAUGGGUAUAUCACUACAACAUCAAGAACAUAUCUAGUUUCUAUGCAUUAAAGUUUCUCGCCAAACAGAGACAUAAAAACAUGGAAGAUUGCAUCUCAUCUGAAUCAUACUCAACUAGUAAAAUAUACAAUUUGAAAGCAAAAAUGAGAAAAUCAUAUUGAAGGAGACAGGUUUUAUUUUCAUACUGUAGAUCACCUAAGAAUUCCAUGAGCCCUAUUGUAACUUUCCUAAGAAGCCCAAAGUAGAACAUCCGAUUAAUUCUUUAAUUAAUAAUCUAUAAUAACCAUGUAAGCUAACAAAAAUUCUACACAUACAUGACUGCUAAAGGACUUUAUAUAAAAAUUAAAGUUUAAAAUGUCACUUUAUAACCCUAACAUAAGUCUAGCUACUAAAUCAAAAUUGAGUUGAUUAAAGUUUUCAUAUUUUUUUCAAUCACCAAAUUAAUAACAUCAAAUUCAAUUUCUUAAUAUCCUAUCAAGGGCUAUCACAGUGUCUAUCAAACUAUAGUUAAUUACAUACAUCAAUUAGAAUUUCGCAAAACAAGAUCUAUUACAGAACUUCAAUUGAGAAAACCAAUAAAAUCGAAAUUAACACGAACCCAUUAACGUAAGCAUGAGAUCUAAUUAACCUAGAUGAAGAAAAAAUCUCAAAAUUAGUUGUGAAUCAAAAUCUAGAAAAAAAAAAUUCAACCCCACUUUCAUUCAACAAAUUUUAAUCGAUUUUAUCAUCCUCAUGAUAGAUUUACAAACAAAAAUUUGUCACCAUAUCAUGUAAAUCAGAACCAAUAAGUUUUUAUGAAAAAAAAAACUCAUUCUAAAUACAAACCCCAUGAUUUAUGGACCCAAUUCAAAGGACAAAUGUAAAAGAAAAAGACAUUAAGCAUUUACCUUGCAAGAAUCGAACCAAAUGUUAGGGUUCGCUGAACAACUUGUGGCGAAAGGACAAAGAGACUGAAAAACGAUGGAAAAUGGGUGUCCAAUUGAGAAUGAUGGUAUGGACGGUGGUAGAAUGGUUGAGUUUUGAAUGGUAGAAUGGUGGCUUUUUUGAUCGAUUCUUAUUCUAGGGUUUCUGUUAAUGAUGAGAGAGUAAGGAAAAAUGGAUAGUGAGUGAGCAAAUGUCUAACACUUAGACAAAAUUUUUGGGUUUUAUGUAAACGUACACUUAAACGCCAUCGUUUUUGUUUUGUUUUUUAUAUUUUUUAAAUUUUUAAAUGAAAUAAUAUAUUAAAAGUUAGUCACAAAUGGUCAAAAUCAAAUAAUUCUAUCAUGAUUUCAUGAUAGAGUAAAUUUGCAUCACGACUCUAUCAUUAAUUCUAGAUAGGGGUGGGCAAAAUCGGGUUCGGUUCAACCCGAUCGGGUUUCGGGUUGAUCGGGUUAGAUGAGAACUCAUCCGAAUUCAACCCGAAUCUAUAACCCGAUCCGACCCGAUCCGAAUAUAAUUCGGAUCGGAUCGGGUCGGAUAUAAAAAAUACACACACAAUCUACCCAUUUACACACACACGAUCUACACAUUUACAGCAACAACCCAAAGCUUUCAAAACUCAACAGCCAAAUGGAGCUUGAAUCGGAUCGGGUGAUGGCGGAGGAUUGGAGGCGUGGAGGUGGCGCAGCAGAUCCGGUACUUGGUAGUAGUAGAUCAGUAGAUCGAGUCACCAUUCUCACGGAGUAGCUUCGGUUGGAGUGGGCUGUAUAACUGUCGCUUGUUUCCGUCGAUAGUGGGAUGCGAGAGAGGGAGGCUGUGGCUUGUGGGUGGGUGUGGGCGAUUAUGUUGCUGGUCGGCAGGGGGCUGUGGGUGUGUCAGUGUGUGUGGUGUUCACUUCGUGUUCCAGUGUGUGUGUUCCAGUGCGUGGGGGGCGUGGUGUGUGUGUGUUCCAAUGUGUGUGUUUCAGGGCGUGGGUGGUAUGUAUGUGUUCCAGUGUGUGUGUUCCAAUGUGUGUGUUCCAGUGCGUGGGUGGUGUGUAUGUGUUCCAGUGUGUGUGGUGUGUAUGUGUUCCAGCGUGUGUGUUCUAGUGUGUGUGGUGUAUAUGUGUUCCGGUGUGUGUGUGUGGGGUGUGUAUUUGAGGUUUAAUUUUUUUUUUUUUUGUGUCAACCCGAUCGGGUCAACCCGAUCCGAUCAUGAUCCACCCGAUCCGAUCCGAUCAUAAUCCGAUCGGGUUGACACAAAUGCACCCGAUCGGGUUUUCUUUACAACCCGAUCCGAUCCGAACCCGAUUUUUUUCGGAUCGGAUCGGGUCGGAUCGGGUAUUUUGCCCACCCCUAAUUCUAGAUAAACAAUAAUUCUAUCACAAAACCAUCAUUAAUUUAUGAUAGACCAAAAUUCUAUCACGAGUAUGUCAUACAUUUAUGAUAUAAGUCAUUUUACUCAAAAUCUAUCACAAGUUGUUUGUUAUCUAUUGCCAAUCUUCUUGUAGUGAAAAAUUUUGAUAACAAACAAAAUGAUACAUAACUGUAAAUAGAAUGGUUUGUUUUUGUCAAAUGAUGUCUAAAGCUUGUGGCUCAAUAAUUCAAAAGCAAACAGUAAAAAGAAAAAACAAACAAUGAUUAGAUAUUAAAUCACACAAAAAAAUAAUGCAAAAGAUAAAAGAACAGUAAAAUAAAAAAAAUACUUACUGGUAGUUGUGAUUAUAGCUCACAUCUUCCACUGAUUUUACAUCUAGUAAUGGCUUGAACGCCCUUUAUGGGUUGAUGAUAGGUUUCCCAUCUAGUUUUCUAAUAAACUAGCAAAUAUGGUCUUUUAGGGUCAAAUUCCUAUUAAACCGUGCACUUUCUUUUUGGAACAGCUUCCAUAAAUUAUGAAUCUCACAUUGCACAUAUUCACUCGGAUGCGUCUCAAUCGUAAGAUAUCAUCUAACGAUUCUUUACUCAUGUCAUUCUUAAUGAAUUUGAUUUUAUCUUCACGAUUUACAGAGACCAUUCCUAAAGUUUUACAACGUGGUUUAUUACAAGCAAGUCUUACACAGUUAGGACAUCUACAGCCAAGCCGCUUAACUCUUCUUUUUCUAACAGUUGUGUUUUUACUAAAAUUAGACAUGUAAGAAACAAAUGGAUCACAAAACUCACUUACCAAUUGGACCUUUACUUUAAUUAACUAACGAAUGUCAGCAUAAAUCUCAUUGAUCAUUAACAAACACAGUCGUUCACAAUAAGCUUUGUGAAUCUUCUUAAGAGCAUUUUGAGGGAGAGAAAAGAAAAUGUUUAUACAAUUUAUGUUGUAUUUCUUUCGUGCUAGAUUUUGGGGUUUCAGUUAUUUUGGGAAACUGAAAGUACUAAUUUAAAAAGUCACAUAGUACCAUUAUUUGCCAUUUAUACGGGAAGUGAAUCAAAAUAUAUCAAAAAAACACGAAUCAAAUCUACAAAAUCAAGUCAAAAGUAAAGGAGAACAAAACAAGAAAAUAAAAACACAAUGAAUAAAAUCAAACAUGUAAUUCACCUUCAUCCUUUCAUUGAAUUACCUCAAGUUCCAAUUAGAAUUUAUAAAUACCAUCCUCUAUUUUUAUGAAUUUUCUUUCUAGAUCUUCAACGUGUGAUACUAACAUUGGUGGUUGUAAAUCCCAAAUAGGAUGUGAUUUACAAACUUAGAGUAAGCUUCUUAUGUGAAUUUUUACACGUAAAAGUUCUCCAAGAUGUUUGAAAAGGAUCCUUCUCAUGGAGGUACACAUGACAAAUAUCAAAAAGCCGAAAUGAAACACAAUUGUCAAAUAAACACACUUAAAAAAAAUAAUGUAAUGCACUCCAUUCAAGAAAUAGAAAAAAAUCAAAUAAUACAAACGGCACAGUAAAAGUAAAGAAAAAUGACAAAAAGUGAAAACAAGAUACUUAAUCAAGAUUUGGUGGGUCAUUCAAAUUAAUUUCGAUGUGUGCUUCACGUGGUUGGUAUUUCAAAUAUGGUUUCAAUCUUUGACCAUUAACUUUAAAUGUGACACCGUUAUUUGAAUUCUCAAUUUUUGUGACCCCAUAUGUAUAUAUAUUUUUUACAACAAAUGGGUUACUCCACUUUGACUUUAAUUUCCUUAGAAACAAAUAAAGACGAAAGUUCUAAAGUAGUACUUUUUGACCAAUCUCAAAUGUUUUCUAAAAAACUCUUCUAUUAUGAAAAGCUUUGGUUCUUACCUUAAUAAUUCUUGAAUUCUUAUAUGCAUCGUUCGUUAAUUCCUCAAGUUCAUUCCAUUGUAAUUUUCACACAUUACCAGUAUCAUCAAAAUUUGAAUUAAAAAUUUUAACAGCCCAAAAUUAUUUAUAUUCAAGUUCAACCGGUAAGUGGCAAGAUUUAAAAUAAACAAGCCGAUGGAGUGACAUUCCUAAAGAUAUUUUAAAUGUUGUAUGGUACGUCCAAAGUGUAUCAGUUAGUCGAAGAGACCAAUCUUUGCGAUUUGGGUUAACUGCCUUUUACAAAAUUAGUUCUAUCUCCAUAUUUGCUAAUUCAACUUGACCACUUGUUUGAGAAUAAUAAGGGAUAGCAACUUUACUUGUAAUUCCAUAUUUCUUCAUCAAGGACGCAAAUGGCUUGUUACAAAAAUACUUACCUCUAUCACUAAUAAUGGCUCAAAAGAUUCUAAAUCUGCUCAAAAGAUUUUCUUUUAAAAAGUGGAUCAUAGUCUUAUGAUCGUUGUGUCGACAAGGAAUCGCUUCAAUCAACGUAACUAUAAUAUAUACAAAUUCAAAUAAUGAUGGCAAAAAACCCAAAAAAAUCAAUUCCCCGAUAAUCAAAUAUUUCAACAACAAUGAUGGGGUCUAAAGGCAUCAUGUUUCGCUUUGAAACAGACCUUACCAUUUGACGAUUCUUACGCACUUUGCAGAAUACAUGUGAAUCUUUAAAUAAUAUAGGCCAAUAAAAUCAAACUGCAAUAUUUUUGCAACUGUCUUUUUUUAAGAAAAGUGGCCACCAUGUGCUUUAAAAUGACAUAAUUGAAUGACAUUACUUACCUUGUCGCCUGGUAUGUAUCUUCAAAAAUUUUGAUCAAAACAGUACUUGAACAAGUAUGGAUCAUCCCAAUAAAAACUUUUUACUUUUGUUAAAAAUUUCUUCUUGUCUUGGGAGCUCCAGUCACAUGGCGUUUCACCUGUUGCAAAAUAAUUAACAAUAUUAGCAUACAAAUGCAUUUUGUUUAUAGAAAAUAAAAAUUCAUCAGGGAAAGAAUCAUUGAUGGGUGUUAUAUCAAUUGAACACUCAUUUGUAAGUCUCGAAAGAUAAUCUACAACAAUGUUUUCAACGCCUUUUUUUCCUUCAUUGUCAGGCUAAAUUCUUGAAGUGGCAAAAUCUAUCGUAUCAAUCUUGGCUUGGCAUCCUGUUUAGACAUUAAAUAUCUAACAGCAGCAUAAUCAAAAUAAACAAUGGUAGAUGAACCAAUUAAAUACGAACGAAAGUUAUCCAGUGCAAAUACUACAGUAAAUAGUUCUUUUUCACUUGUGGUGUAAUUCAUUUGGACACUAUUCAAAGUUAUACUUGCGUAAUAGAUGACAAAGGGCUUACCUUCCUUUCUCUGUCCCAAAAUAGCUCCAACGGCAUAAUCACUAGCAUUACACAUUAGCUCAAAAGGUAAAGAUCAAUCAAAUGGUUGCAUUAUUAAAGCCUAUGUCAAAAGAUUAAUUAUCUUUUUGAAAGGUUUUUGACAAUCUUUAGUCCAUUUGAAUGGUGUGUCUUUUAUUAAGAGGUAACAAAGUGGACUAAAUAUGGCAUUAAAUUCUUUUAUAAACCUUCUACAAAACCCUACAUCUCCUAAAAAGGAAAUGACUUCUUUAAUUCUCUUUAGUGAGGGUAAUUUUGAGAUUUCAAUUUUGCCUUUGUUAACUUCAAUUCCUUUUAAAGACACAACAUAGCCCAAGACAAUUCCAAAAGUGCUCAUGAAAUGACAUUUUUCCCAAUCUAAAACUAUUCCUUUUUUUGUACUUUUCCAAAACUCUUUCUAGAUUAUCAAGACAUGUAACAAAUAAUUACCAAAUACAGUUAAAUCAUCCAUAAAAACCUCUUGACAAUUUUCAACCACAUCGCUAAAAAUACUAAGCAUGCAUCUUUGAGAUGUUGCAGGAGCACUAUAAAGUUCAAAAGGCAUUCUCCUAAAUGCAAAUGUUCCAAAUGGACAAAUGAAUAUGGUUUUUUCCUAGCCAUCUAAUGCGAUAGGAAUUUGAUAAUAGCCCGAGUAGCUAUCAAGAAAAUAUAUUAAGUGUGUCCUGCUACUCUCUCGAGAAUUUGGUCUAAAAAUGAAAGAGAAAAUUAUCUUUUCUAAUGGCAUCAUUUAAUUUUUUGUAAUUAAUUUACAUGCACAAACUAGAUGGAAUUUUUAUUGGGAUUGCUUCACCUUUUUCAUUGUUUUACCAUAGUUAUUUCAGAUUUCUUUAAAACUACUUGUGUUGGAGUUACUUAUUUACUAUCAGAGAUAUGAUAGAUAAUUUUUAUAUCUAAUAAUUAAGGANNNNNNNNNNNNNNNNNNNNNNNNNNNNNNNNNNNNNNNNNNNNNNNNNNNNNNNNNNNNNNNNNNNNNNNNNNNNNNNNNNNNNNNNNNNNNNNNNNNNNNNNNNNNNNNNNNNNNNNNNNNNNNNNNNNNNNNNNNNNNNNNNNNNNNNNNNNNNNNNNNNNNNNNNNNNNNNNNNNNNNNNNNNNNNNNNNNNNNNNNNNNNNNNNNNNNNNNNNNNNNNNNNNNNNNNNNNNNNNNNNNNNNNNNNNNNNNNNNNNNNNNNNNNNNNNNNNNNNNNNNNNNNNNNNNNNNNNNNNNNNNNNNNNNNNNNNNNNNNNNNNNNNNNNNNNNNNNNNNNNNNNNNNNNNNNNNNNNNNNNNNNNNNNNNNNNNNNNNNNNNNNNNNNNNNNNNNNNNNNNNNNNNNNNNNNNNNNNNNNNNNNNNNNNNNNNNNNNNNNNNNNNNNNNNNNNNNNNNNNNNNNNNNNNNNNNNNNNNNNNNNNNNNNNNNNNNNNNNNNNNNNNNNNNNNNNNNNNNNNNNNNNNNNNNNNNNNNNNNNNNNNNNNNNNNNNNNNNNNNNNNNNNNNNNNNNNNNNNNNNNNNNNNNNNNNNNNNNNNNNNNNNNNNNNNNNNNNNNNNNNNNNNNNNNNNNNNNNNNNNNNNNNNNNNNNNNNNNNNNNNNNNNNNNNNNNNNNNNNNNNNNNNNNNNNNNNNNNNNNNNNNNNNNNNNNNNNNNNNNNNNNNNNNNNNNNNNNNNNNNNNNNNNNNNNNNNNNNNNNNNNNNNNNNNNNNNNNNNNNNNNNNNNNNNNNNNNNNNNNNNNNNNNNNNNNNNNNNNNNNNNNNNNNNNNNNNNNNNNNNNNNNNNNNNNNNNNNNNNNNNNNNNNNNNNNNNNNNNNNNNNNNNNNNNNNNNNNNNNNNNNNNNNNNNNNNNNNNNNNNNNNNNNNNNNNNNNNNNNNNNNNNNNNNNNNNNNNNNNNNNNNNNNNNNNNNNNNNNNNNNNNNNNNNNNNNNNNNNNNNNNNNNNNNNNNNNNNNNNNNNNNNNNNNNNNNNNNNNNNNNNNNNNNNNNNNNNNNNNNNNNNNNNNNNNNNNNNNNNNNNNNNNNNNNNNNNNNNNNNNNNNNNNNNNNNNNNNNNNNNNNNNNNNNNNNNNNNNNNNNNNNNNNNNNNNNNNNNNNNNNNNNNNNNNNNNNNNNNNNNNNNNNNNNNNNNNNNNNNNNNNNNNNNNNNNNNNNNNNNNNNNNNNNNNNNNNNNNNNNNNNNNNNNNNNNNNNNNNNNNNNNNNNNNNNNNNNNNNNNNNNNNNNNNNNNNNNNNNNNNNNNNNNNNNNNNNNNNNNNAUAGUAAACUGAAAAAUAACAUUAUAGAAAGGUUAAACCUACCAUAUAAAUUAACCAAAAAAAAAUAUAAGAAUUAAAUUGCAGUAAUUAAAAGAAGAAUGCAGGAAAAGAAUACUAACCCUUAAGGCGUGGACUCUCUCUUUUUUUUUUUUUUUUUUGCCAAUUUUAAGAAUUACCAACUAAUUAGAUAAUUAAUUUAAUUUCUGGGCCUUAAUAGUAAUUUUAAAUCCAUGUAUGUUAUGUCCACAAAAUCCAAAGGUCCAAGUUCAUCUAGUCUUUUAAUUCCAAAAGACUAAAGAAUAAGGCAAAGUCCAAAUAAUCAAGUUCUAAUUCGGUUUGAGGGACUGAUUUGCAAAGUUUCUGGAUCAAAAUAAAAUUUUUCAUAAAUUUUAUAGAUGAUAUUAAAAUUUCAAGAGAAGAAGGGCGCUAACUGAAGUUUUACAGAAAAAUAAAAUAAAAUAAAAUGACAGACAGAAACGAAUGGCAAAAAUAAAUUGACACCAAAUUUAAAAAAUUUACUGGCAAUAGUGCCAAAAAAUUGGCACAACUCAAAAGUAUUGUUACUCUCAAAUAUGAAAAUAUCUAGUUAUAAUAUAAGUGAGUGAGUCUAAGGUCGAACCACGAGAAAUUUAAAAUCUAGUAGUCAACUUAUUAAACAAAAAAAUUAAAUGCGAGAAAAGAAAUUAAUAGGAAUCAAUUUAUAAAUUUGCUAAGGUUAUGGGAUUCACUCUCGGAUUUUAAACUAUAGUUAUAACAACUCUCUCAUAUUUGAAUUUUGCAUUUAUUUUGCCAAUUAAUUAUUAUGUCAUUUAAUUCUUAAGUAAACAUUUGUGUGAUAAAUAUGGGAUCAAAUACGUAAUGUGGCACAAUUAUAUUGAAAUGUCAACAUUAUGUCCUAAUAUCAUAUAAAUCUAAAGAGAUAUAGUUCUAUAAAUUAACAUGAAAUAAAAGAAACUAGUAAAGAAGAAAAAUACAACAAAUAAAAUAAAUUUUAAGACUUACUUGAGAAAAUAAUUAAUCAAUAAUUUAAAUUCUUAAGCUUCUCCUUUCACCUCAGCUCAAAAAAUUAAUCACUCAUAUUGAACAACAAAACACUUACUUUAUUGAACAAACUUCUGAAAUAUAUAUUAUAAGAGAUUGAACUAUACAAAAUAAGAAAUUUUUCUAGGUCUCAGUCUCAGCUUCCUCUCUUCUCUCCGCACUGCCCCCCUCGCCUUUUAUAAGCAGCAGAAAUCUUCAUCUUCUUUUAUUUUAUUAUUAUUUAUCUAUAUAACUUUUUUUAUUAAAUCUCCUUAAUAAUACAUUCCAAAUGGCUCCAACAAUUCUUUUUUGUUUCUCACUUUUAGUUCCAAUUUGCUCUUUAUUUUUGAAAUAUUUACAAUAUAAAAACUAACAUACUGUAAAUUAAUUUAAUAUAAAAAAUUAUUAGACAGUAUUAAGAUAAUUUAGAAAUAAUAAGGGCAUUAAUUAAUACUGUAAGUAAAAAAUUGAUAAUUUUAUCUUUAAUAAAUAUACACUUUUCAAUGUCAAUCACUUAGCUAGAAUUUCACAUACUUUAGUUUUUUUUUUUUCAUUAAAACAUCCUCAUACAUUUAUAAUGAAAGAUAAAAAUAAAUAAAGAAAACCAUUUAUUAUAUCGUUUAAUAAAUACAUCCAUAUGCAAAUAGCAAAUAAAUCUAUUUCUAAAAAACUUAAUUGAAGCAUCAAACUAUACUUUAUAAACAUCCUCGAAAUUAUGAAAUUAAACUAAUUCUCACUAAAUUCAUUAACCAAAACCAUUAAGAAAAACUUCUUGGCGUAAUUUCAUAUAAUUUCUUAGCCAUGAAUAACCUAUUAAAUAUUAUUUUGAGAUCAUAUUGCACUAUAAUUCUUUAAAAAGCUAUCAUUAUUAGUUAGCUAAUCUCCAAUCCAUAUCAAUCCUCAAUAAUUUAUAUAUCCGUCAACUUCAUAUCAUUGAACAUAUCAAUCCUCAAUUCAUUAUUUCGGAAAAAUUCUACUCCAAAAUUCAUAUAUCAAAAACUUCCUAAUCCUCAAAAUUAUUUAAUAAAUAAACUCCAAAGUUUCACCAAAAUCAAAUUAAUCAUAAUAUACUUAUUUUUGCCUAAUUAACAUUUCCUCAAAUUUGAACUUUUCUUAAAAGUGAUCUGUAAUAAAUAGCCUAAUAUUCAAAAAAUAAAUACAUUCAUAAUACAAUAUUUCUGUAAAAUAGAACUCCCCUUAAACGUAUAUUUAUUCUCCAAUAUCUUGUUAAUCUUUUGCAAUCCUCCAAAUAUCAAUUGAUAUCUUGCAAGAAACUCAAAAAUUGUUGAACCUGUAUUUAAUUUAAAAAAAUAAAGGUGGUUAAACGAAAUUUUUAUGGUCAAAAAAUUGCUUUACACCUUUCCCAUUCUCGUUGCUCUCUCUCUCUCAAAGCUCAUGGCGUGGGUUUAGGGAUGGCAAUGGAUUGGAUCUGAUCCAAGAUCCACGUGAUCCAAAUCCAAUCGGAUUGGAUUUGGAUCAGUUUAAAAUGGAUUUGGAUCGGAUUUGUAUAUUGAUAUGCGGAUAGACGGAUCUUGAGCAAAUUUGGAUCUAUCUUAAUAUCUAAAUUCAUAUCCAUAUCCACUCAUCUUUUAAUUUUAUUUUAUUUUAAAAAUUGCUUAACAAUUGUGGAAUUAUAAUGAUAAUAAAUUUUAUUCAUAGCAUAUUAGUAGUAUUUACCAUGCAUUUAAAAUCUUAAAACUUAAAGCUUAGUUUUAUAAAUUUAAAGGUCAGCCAGCCCCAAAUCAUAUACAUGCAAUAUUCAAAUUGCAAGUCAAGUAAUAUAACCUGUCAAUUUAUUUUAUUAUAUUGGCCAAAUAAUUUUUAAGGAAUAUAGUUAUUCAUAUAUUUAGUCAAAUAUGGUCAUAAUAAAAAUAAUAAAUGACUAAAUAUAAAUCAUGUUUAAUUUAUAUGUCAUUAUCUAAUGUUGUAGAAAUGAGGGUAGGUGUAUUGUGGAUAUUAGAAUGAUGAAUGAGACAAUAGAAUAUUAGAUUGAUCUUACUUCUGCAAUUACUUCUGAAUCAUAUUUUAUUAUCUUUCUUAUUUGUUAUUUUGGUGUAAAAGUAUAAGCUCCAAUAUUUAUUAUAUUUUUGAGAAAAAUUAUAUAAUUUAUUUGUUAUCAAUACAUUUUAGCCUUCAAUUUUCAAUCUAAAAAAAUAUUACUUUUUUAUUACUGAAUUUUAGAAUUUAUGACGGAUCUAGAGCAGAUUUGGAUUUUAAUUUUUUUUUUCGGAUUUGGAGCAGAUAUAGAUAUUUAUUUCUUUUUUGGAUCUGGAUAUGGAGCGAAAAAUAUGGAUUCAUGACGGAUCUAGAGCAAAUAUGGAUCUUAAUUUUUAUUAUGGAUUUGGAUCUGUAGCAGAGUAGAUCCAAUCCAUAUCUGCCCCAGUGCCAUCCCUACGUGGGUUUGGUAUCGUUUUUCAAUUAGUGUUUCCCAUUCUUAUUGUAGAGAAGAAAAAUGUUGUUUUUCAUGUGAUGUUUUGAAAAGUUAAAAUGCGUUUGGUAGUUUGUUUUAAAAUAGUAUAUAAAAAAAUGAAAGUAAAAAAAAAAUUGUGUUUGGCUGUUUAUCUGAAAAAGUGAAGACAGUGAGAGAGAGUAAAGAGUUAUUUAUUAUUUAAAAAAAUUUUAAUAGUUACAUCAUAUUUUUGUGCGAGAUAUUAUUAUUAAGUGUAAUUACUUUAUUUUCAAAUGUAUUCUAUUAUUCUAAACAUUAUUUUGUGGAAUAAAAUAUAAAAUUAAAUUGUCUAAAAUAGCUUAAUGCAAUAUAGUAAACCAAAAAAAUAUGUUAUGAUAUAAAUUUUUUAACUAAAAUACCAUGAUUAAUUGUAUUUUUUAUAAUUUAUUAUAAAUAUAUGUAAGAAAAUUAUUUUUAUUUUAAGAAAGUUAUUUUAUUUAGAAAAUAGUUCCUAUUUUGUGUUUUAAAAUAAUAUUGCAUUUUAAUUAUAUAAAUAGAUUUUAUUUAUUACAUAAUAAUAUUUGAAAGAAUAUAAAAUUAUUUUAUAGUUUUUAUAUAUUUGCUAACAUUGCUUGGAGGAUAUAACUUUUUUAUUGAUAUAUUUUCAACAAUAUUUAGAAAAUUGUUAUAAUUUUUAUUUUAAAAUAAUAUAUAAAAAAAUUAAAAUGAUUGAUUCGGCUUCAAGACAUCAAAUAAACAUAAUUUUCAUUUAAUGUUAUUUAUGAAAUACCAUUAUUUAAACCGACCUAGAGUGCUUUUGUUGGGCCUAAAAUGUAUUAAUUGUCUUUGGAGUUUAAAUAUGUUAAACCGAGCUUAAAAUAUAAUAAUAACAAUAAUAACCUCCUUAUUUUUUAACAGCUCAGGUUACUUCCUUUUUGUUCAAAAGAUAAGAAAAAUAUGAAGUUGGGUUAAUAAUAUUUUUUUUUUCUUAACAAAAAUAGAGGUAAAUUAAGAUUUUCAAAAAUGAGGAGGGUGAUUUGAAAAUAUUCAGUUCACAAAAGAGGUAAGUCAAAAUAAAUUGUAAGAAUAAUUAGUUUGGGAUAUUUCAUAUCACCCUUCAAAUUCCUCAUAAAACCCUUUUCUAAAUUACCCCAUUAAAGAAAUAAAUAAUUUUAUUAUUUCAUAAAUACUCUCCACCCCGUUCAAAACUUUUUUUUUUAAUAAUAUAUAAAAAAUUAAGUAAUAAUUCCACUCUUUGGUUUUAACUUUGAGUGGUACUCUUGACACCCCUCCAAAAACCUCUUAAAACUGCUAUUUAUUAUUUACCCCAUUAAAAUAUUUUAGAGUAUAAUAUGUUUCUUAUAACAUAUUCUUGUACAACAAAAAUAACCUUAAUUAAAACAUUACUCAUAAAACGUCAUUCUAUCAAUUAUUAAUAUUGUUCAAACCUCAUAUAAAAAUUUUUCUUGUUCCUCUUCCUCCCAUGCUCUUUUUUUUUUUUAAAUUUAUUUUUCUCUUCUUUUGGUCUUCCAACACUACCGUGCUUAGCCCCAGUUCCUCCUUUAUUUUCUCCCUUUUCUUUUUUAUUUUUUAACUUCUUGUGCCGGUAAAUUGUGCGUUAAAAUUGCUAGGUCCCAACCUGUUGCUCAAGACAAUUUAAUAAAUAUGUGUUUUAGUUCUAAAUAUGCAACUAAUUCUUGUAUCUUGAUAUUAAAAAAUCAUGCCCAUAAGCCCAAAUAUGUUAUUCCAGGGUCCAUAACUCACCGAACGCAGCGUUAAUAUUAAACACACGGUGAAGAUCCAUUUCUCAAUAAGAGUCUAAUCUCAGCCGUUGAAUAGUUCACAAGCUAGAACGCAGCGUUUAGACAAGUUUUACAGUUACAAAACCCUAGCUUUUUCACUUAACAGAGCCACUCUUAUAUAACUUGCUCAAAGAAGCUCUCUUAUUUGGUUCUUCCGCAGUCCGAUCUUCUACGGCCAGGGGACACGACACUUAAACUCUGUGAGUCGACUCAGAUUUCAUUAGCCCUUAAGCUUCCAUUUUCAUUCUAAUCGAUAUAUGCUGCCCUUUGUGGAUUUUCAGCCUUUGAUCUUGUUCAAACUUUCUGCUUUGUUGUUAUUUUUGUGAUCAUGUUGCUUUUUUGCCGUUUUAUCCAUCUGGGCAUUUUUUUUCGUUUGUUGAAAUAUACUGAUCUUUUUUUUUUCAAUUUUGUUAUGUAUUAUGCUUUUGGUUGGUGAGAAUAUGUAAAGAGGAAAGUAAAAGAAAUAAGAAAAGCCUAUUACAAUUAAUUCAUUUCAUUGAGCUUGAAUCAAAAUCUGUAUCAUUAAUAAUUAAUCCGAAGAAGGCUCAAUUUAUGUCUUUUGUUUUUUUUUUCUGAAAGAAGAGUUUUGAGGGCAAAUUUUUAACUAUGAUUGAGAUGGAAGUGAUGAUUAUUUCCCCAGAUGAUCGACAAUGAUUAUAAUGUGCGAUUUUUCUCUUUUUGAGAAUCCAAGCCAGUAUUCUGAUCCAUCUCCAUGUCAUUUUAACUAACUAUUCCACUUUCAUUAAUAUUGGUCAAAAUUUUUACUUUUAGGUUAUUAUAUUUUGUAAUGUAGGUUUCUGCAUAUUAGAGAAGAUACAAGUAGCUUCAAUGUUGUUAGGGAUGUUUAAUGUUGCUAUGAUAAUAAUGUCUAUUUGGGACUGUUAUAGGAUUCGAGUAUGUUUUGAUUUUAUGGCAUGCACGUUUAUUGUUUUACUAAGCUAGACCUUAUUCUGAAUGUGGGUUUGUUAUUAUUAUAGAGAUGGCUGAAGUAGAAGCCAAGGCGCCAGUUCCAGAGUCUGUCUUGAAGAAGCAGAAGAGGAAUGAGGAAUGGGCUUUGGCAAAGAAGCAGGAGCUUGAAACUUCCAAGAAGAACAAGCUCGAGAGUAGGAAGCUGAUUUACAAUAGGGCUAAGCAGUAUGCAAAGGAGUUUGCUGAGCAGGUGAUCGUUGUAAACUUCUUCAAAGUUUAAUUUUAUUACUAUAUUUGGAUUAACAAGAUUCUUUUUUUCCCCUAAUUUUAGGAAAAGGUGUUGAUUCAAUUGAAGCGUGAAGCUAAAUUGAAAGGAGGGUUUUAUGUUGACCCUGAAGCUAAGCUUUUGUUUAUCAUCCGUAUCCGUGGGUAAGUUGGCAUUAUUGAUGUUUAUGAUCUUUUUCAAAAUUGUGGAGUAUGGAUUUUAAUAACUUAGUUGUGUGCUUUGGAACUCUCAGUAUCAAUGCCAUUGACCCAAAGACAAAGAAGAUUUUGCAGCUUUUACGUUUAAGACAGGUAGUUUAUUGAUUUCUACUUACUUCCAUAUGAAUUAGAUUUAAAGCUUUGUGAUAUUCUUGCCAUUUUCUUAUUAUGCCUUCUCAGUUUUUGUGUUGUUCGCAUGGGUGGGAUUGGAAACUUUCUAGUCUGGAAAGUUCUUGUGGCGUGACUCAUCUCUCUUAGAAAAGAGAAAAUGGGGGGAAUAUGUACUAGUCUUGUUUAAUAUUGUAGUUGUUUACUGGCUGGAGGAGACUUGUGAUACGUAGCUGGAGCAUUAAUUGUUUUUAUUCCGUCUUUCAUUGCUCUGAUGCGGUUUAAUGUUUUAGUAUAUUGUGUAGUGUUUUGUGGUGUCUUUAGUUUGUUUUAAUCUUAGUUUGGGCCUGUGUAUUUGUCGCCUGUGAGAUGUUUCAGUUGGAUUUUCUUUUUCAAUUUCAUGUUGUGGUUGCAUUAUAUGGAAGGUAGAUACAUUAAUUUGUGAUAAAUUAUAGUCAUGCAACAUGACAUUGAGUAAUUUUGGUAUUGAAACUUGAUUUAUUUCAAAAUCUAGUGUCAACUUUUUUCUUGAAUAAGAACAUUGUUUGAUUAAUUUCCUCCUUGAAUAAUACAGAUCUUCAAUGGAGUUUUUCUUAAAGUGAACAAAGCUACCAUGAACAUGCUUCAUAGGGUUGAACCUUACGUCACCUAUGGGUAGGUCAAAUAUUAUGUGUGUGAUUUUACUAUUUGGAAGGCUUUUGCUUCUAAUAUGUGUAACAUGUCUGAUGAACUCAUGUUUCAUGUAGAUACCCCAAUUUGAAGAGUGUUAGGGAGCUCAUUUACAAGAGGGGAUAUGGAAAGCUAGAUAAGCAGAGAAUUGCUUUGACUGAUAACUCAAUUAUUGAGAAGGUUUGCGCAUCCUAUGUUCCUUAGUGUUCAUCAUGUGGCAGUUGUGCUGCAUAGUGCCUCGCUUAACAUGUUAUGAAUGAUGAUGUAUCAGGCUUUGGGCAAGUUCGGUAUCAUCUGCAUGGAAGACCUGAUCCAUGAGAUUAUGACAGUGGGACCUCAUUUUAAGGAGGCUAACAACUUUUUAUGGCCAUUUAAGCUCAAGGCACCAUUGGGUGGCCUGAAGAAGAAGAGGAACCACUAUGUCGAGGGUGGUGAUGCUGGAAACCGUGAGAACUACGUCAAUGAACUGAUCAGAAGAAUGAACUAGGCAGUUCGCAUUAUUUUGAUGAUUAUUUAGAGUUUUGAGGUGUUUCAUUAUUUAAGAGUUUUGAGGUUCUUAUGCUAAGAUAUUGUUGGUACCGUAGCAAACGAAAUUUUAGUCCCCCCUUUUAAUGUGGAAACAGUUUUUGUUUUAAACAAUGGAUCAUGAGAUGUUAUUUGGAAAUUUUAUUCUGCUUCGGAUUCGAGGGUUAGUUCAUAAUUUUUUAUGUAUGUUCAGAUUUUCAAAAGCAUGAAGGCCUCUUGAUUGAUAUAAUAUUGUGCUAUUUUGUAACGCACUCCAUAUGAUACUGGAAUUAACCUUGUUUAAUUGUUCAACUUCUAUGUGUGUUUUUUUUCACUCUACUAAAGGGCUUUUUAGAAUAUGGUCAACAUAAGCAUUGAACCCAUCCAACAGUAUAUUUAAAUGGAUGGAAAGGACUGAUAGGAUGCCUACUGGCCUCGUAAAUCGGAUUGGUAGAAUUUAGUGGGAUUAAGGAUCUAGUCCCGAACGGUAGCGAUAUAAAAUUUUUUGUGUUGAUAUAUGGGGGUCGUCAAAAAUACCCAACUACCAAGCCUAGGUGAUGUGGGGAUGAGGUGGGGUUAGUUCUGUCGGGUUCGGUAAGAAAUUUACAUUUUACAAAAAAAAAAUGUUAUAAAAUAUAAUAUUAUUUUAAAUAACUGUAUUUAUUUGACUUAAUUAUUACAUGUGUUUAAAAUCCUAAAUAUUUACAGUUCAUAUUUUCAUAUAUAUUUUCAUUAAAAUAAUUUUAAAAUUUGUAAAAUUAUAAAAUAAAUUAAAAAAUAUACAUAUAUAAUACUUGGACCGGGUGUCUAAAAAGCAUCUCCAAGCUUGGCUCCGGGCAUUACCAUACCCAAGCUCGGACUUGAAUUUUGUCGUCCCUAAUAUACUAUUUGGAUUAAGAUUUGAAAUGAAAUUUUACUUCAAUUUACUAUUUGAAUGGGAUUUAUGAUGCUUGAAAAAUGAACGAAAUUUGAAUGAAAUUUGAAUCUCGACUAUAUUGUUAAUUGUAGCUCAAAUUUGGAUUUUCAGAAGCGUGUGACUAAUUAGUUAUAUGAAUUAUAGAUAACUAACAUGUCAGUAAGGUUUGUACGAUAAGUCAUUUUUAUAAAUAAAAAAUAUAUGACUUGUCUAUCAUAUUCGUUUGACAUAUUGGUUAUGAUAGAAUUUGCAUAGUAUAAUAGUAAACUCACGCCAUCUAAGACAUUUAUGAUCUUUAUCGGUUUUGAUGGGAACAAGAUCAGUACAAAUUUUGUGUUCCUAUUUAUUAUUCGAGAUGGGAUUUGAAACAAUUUCUCUCAAUUGACAAUUAGAGCAGGAUUCGGAUUGACCAAUCCCAAUCAGAGCAUCCCGAUUGCCAACCCUACUUAUAAAUAUUGAUUACAAAGAAAGUUUAAAUGUAUGUGUGUGUGUGUGUGUAUUUUUUGAUAAGAAAUUUUAUAUUUAUAUUUAUAUUUUAAAAAAGUGACGUUCCUUUGUUAUUGUUAGAACUGAGUAGGAUUUUGAUAGAAAAGAUGGAUCUCCAUCAUAAAAAUCUUUUCUUAAACAUGGAUUCAAUAUUGUAUAUUGUGCACGAUUUCCUUUAUUACCAUGUGAAUACUGAAUUGUGAUUAGUCUUUAGCUGUUUUCUUUAUUUGCUUAUGAUUUCUUUAUAUUGAUGCUUUAUUCCUCGUGAAUGAUUCUACGUUAAAACGUGAUAUUUAUCUAUUAAAUAAUAUAAUAAUAAUUUAUAAAUUAUAAAAUUUAUCAUCAAAUAGAUGGUUGACAUAUAGCGAUUAAGACUAAAGUUAAAAACUUAAUUUUUUAGAUCUAUAUAACGUCAUUGUAUGUAUUCCUUUUAAAUUUGGGGACGUAACCCCUAUGCCACACAAUGGUUGCUAACCUCCUAAAAAAAUUGGGCGUAAAAAUAAACAUAGAAGAUAUUUUAAGAGAAAUGAAUGAGUCAAUUAUCUAACAAAUAAUAUUAAAGAGAGUAAAAAUAUCGUACUUAAUAAUUUAGCCUAUUUAGUUCUGACUACUAUAGUCGCAUUACGUUUCCCCGAUCUAUCGGGUUAAAAAAUUAAGCUUUGCAAUUACUUGGGACCAGGGGCAUUGUACAUUUGUAAGUUUCGGAGCUCUUGUAUGAUUUGCCUUCUUUCCAAAACUUUUGAAAUGGCCGUUAAACAGAACUGAACAAAACGUGUUGACGCAGCCAGAAAUUUUUCGUCAAUUACAAGGACCAGGUCAAUCUUUGAAAAAAUUCGCUCAUGGCUAAGAAAUUUUGAUAUUUCUUAGAAAUUGCUAGAAACAAGAACCUGCCUACCAUUAAAUCCACAAAUUCGUGUUGCUUCCAAGUUAGGGAAAAUUAUACAGAUCCCCUUACAGUUUGCCUUAAACACAUUACUGUCAAAGAAGUUUUAGGCCUUUUUUUUUCCCAUUGGGCUAUAUAGCUUGACUUUAAUUUUUUGGUAAAUUUUGUAAGACUGUAUGGUCAACUUAUUUUCUACUUGAGAAUAGCUCAACAGUCAACAGCUAGCCCGAAAUGCUCAUUGUGCCGAUGAUUUCCUGAAUUCAAAUAAUAAUAGGAGCCAAAGAUACCGAAAAAAUUAGAAUAAAAUUAUCAAAUACUAUAUAUAUAUGCAAAGAUAUUUUAUUUCUAAAUGUAUUAGGAAAAUGAUUGGUAAAAUCUGAAUCAUAUUAAUAAUUGAUGCAAGUGAAACAUUAAUUUUAAAAUAAUGAUAUGCAAACCUACCAAUGAACCCCUUGCCUCAUCCCUACUAAGAACAAAUAAAUAUUGAAAUAUUUUAUUGGAAAUCCUUAAAUUUUGAAUUAAUAUCAAAAUUGCCCUAAAAAUUUAUCCUAGUGGGGAUGAAGGUGGAAUAAUUAGUGUGCAUAUUAUUUUUCUUAAUUUUAAUGUCAAAACAAACAAAAGGGGCCAUUGGUAAAUCAAAAUACUUUAGUGGAUGUGUUUGAUCGAGAAAGACACUUUUUGCACUUUGAUGUAUUUAAAGCAAACCAUGGAGGGAUACAUAAAAGUUUCCGUGUAAACGUAGUAUUGCAGAGUGCUUGCAGUUCCUGUCACUUUCAUACUCCCCUUAAGAAACAUAAUCUCAGGCGAGAAGAUAUCAGAGUUAAAUUGCUAAGAGCCAAGUUUACGAUCGUGUAUAAAUAUUCUCUUUGAAAGUGUCCGAGAAAUGAUUUGAUCCAAAAUUUUAAGCUAAUAAGAUUUAAGGCUCUGGAAUAACACUAAAGGCAAGUCUCAGAAGUCUCAAGGGUCUCCCUCCAUGAAACGUAGACUAAGACAAGAUCUAAUAGCAUAUAUACAUGAGCCGAGAGAAAAGAGUUCGAAAGUGAACCAAAGAGCUUGCACGCAAGAGGGGGGUAAACACUAGAUCUUGGCACUAAUAUUAUGACAGAGAAAUUACUUGAUCCAAAGGCUUAAAAUGAUAUGCCAGAGACUAACAAUAAUAUUAAAAGCAAGUCUUAACAGAAAAAUAAGCUUAUAGUAUAAAAUACUGCACGUUUAGGUUUAAACAAAUGGAUAUAGCAGAGCAAUAUGUAACAAUCCAAUAAUGCUUAUUUCUUUUUAUUUUAGUAAUUGAGUUUUGUUACAAGAUAGAUUCUGAAACAGUUUUACACACACACACUACUCAACCUUGCUUAGCAAGGCAAUCAAACAUGACUUAUUAGGAAAAGAGAAAAUUGAAACAAAAUUAAGAUGAAGCAUGCAUGUCUCAUCAUCAUCGUCUGCUGCUUAUGAAGUUGCAGGGACCAAGCGUCUGGAGCAAAUUGUGCAGUAGAAUUUCUUCUUAACUUUAUGAGAGAUUGGAAGAAAACAAAAUCUCAAAUGGGCAUCAAAAUCUAUUGCCAGCACAGGCCCUCCACAGUAUGGGCAAGCUGCAUCAGCUCCAUUUCUCCUAAUCACCUUUUCUCGCAGAUCGAAUAUUGACAACACACUCAUUUUUCUCUUUUUGUUGGGGGACGUUGUUGUAAGCAAUGCUUGUUCUCAAUACAUUUAUUUAUGCACAUAAUACUUGAAUAUUUGGGCAUGCAACUUCUUUGGAGUUUCAUUUUUAAAGCUGUUUCUUAGCUGGGGCGCUAUUUUUUUUGUUUUUUUAGUUACAACUGUUAAAGAACUUGGUAUUUUGCUCGAACUGAUUGGUGAUGUUCACGUUUGGUGCGUUUAAAGCAAGAAAUGAAUCAAUUGAGAAGCUGCGAAGAAAUUGGUAUUGAAAGCAGCGAAGUUCGCUCCACGUCAAAAAAAUGGUGCUUGACUGUUUGACUUCUUGGACAUUUUAGCUGCGGUUUCUCACUGAGCCCGUGUUUUUAAUUACAAUAGAAGCUUUACACCCUGGAUUUUGAUGUAACUGAUGUAUUCAUUUGACGCACCGCACCAUAUUAUGUGAAAAGAAAGGAAUAAAAUCCUUUUUUUUAUCCGAAUAUUAUUGAAUUUUAAUGAUUUUUUAUUAUGUGUCUUUUAGUGAUAGUGUAUGGAUAAGAUUUAAUUUUUUUUUAUUUUUUUAUUUAUUAACAAUCAAUCAGUGAUUGAGUUAUUUACUCAUGACAUAAUCAGAUCAGAAGAAAAUCUUGAUCCGAAAAGAAAAUAGAUUAAAAUGUGCAACAUGUUUACAUGCUGCAUCACUUGGGAAGGUUGUAAGUUAUGAGCUCAUAAUUUGUGAUCCCCUUUGAGUCUAUUAGGAUUCUUUUCGGGUGGGCUUGGGCAGUACCAAAAGAAUGAGAUCCAAAGGGUGAAGGAGACAAUAUCUUGUUAGUGGAUCGGCCGUUACAUUAGAAUAGAUUGAGUUACAAGUGGGAUGAUGUUAUUCUUUUUUUUUAAUUAAUAUUAUUUAUUUUAGAAUUUCCCUUAUUGCACAAUAAAUAUUUUUUCUCCUCCCUCAGGAUCUCAAUAGACUAACUGACCACGUCUCACAUCUCUUUCUUUUCUUUUUCUUUUUUUUAAAUUGAUUCGCAAUUUGAAUGAAAUGUUAACUCACAGUCAAAUCCCCAACUAAAAUUAAACAAAAUCUUAUAAAAUCACAAGAAGUAAGGUCAAUAUCAUUAAUAACAACAAAAUCCAUCACUUGUUCAUAAAAUUUAAUAAAACUCAAUAUUGAAACUCGUCGUAUGUUGAUGGAUUUAUGUACCUGUUGUCGAUGAAGAUAGAUCGUAGAGGUGAUAAUUAUACUAGAGAGAGAGAGAAAGAGACGGGGUGGGGAAAGAGGGAAAAAAUAGAAUAAAAUAAUUAUUUUUUAAUUAAGAAUGAUUCAGAAAUAUUAUAAAAUAAAUUAAAAAGUGGUGGCCGGUAAGAUAGUUUGAGAAGAUCAAAUAUUAUUACUCUUAUCUCUUGACUUGCCAUUGCUCGGUCUUUUUUUUCUUUUUUCAAAAUGGACUUAUCGUUACAUUAGGAUAAAUUAAAGAGUCAGACCAUUGGCUCCUUCAUAAAAAGUCCUAAUAAAACACCUUUUUCAAAAGAACCACAUUAAUUAAACUAAAAGAAUUCAUUAUUUAUAACUAUACAUGCAUUCUUCCAAAAUUACCCUUAAUUUAAUCUCUUUAAAUUUGGCUUAUUUCUGUAUGAAUAUUUUUUUUUUGAAAUAAUUACUUCUUUAACAGAAAAAAAUUACAAGAGACCUACCAUUUUGGAAGGGCAUCCUCCAACAUUUGACCAAGGCCCCCACUGCUAUAAUAGCCAUCACCAUCAUCUUAUUUUGCGCCUGUAAAAGCUUUACAAUCAGCAAUUAAACCGUAUAAACAAACAGUUGAGGUUUCAUUUUCAAUAUCAUCCAUACGGAACAAGAUUCCCACAGCCUCAAAUACGAAUGGGGUUUUGGCCAAUUAGACUGAAUAGCUGCUGAGCAAAUAUGUAUAUAUAAACAUAAGGAUCAAAGUUGUGGUGUUGAAAAUGACCCAAGAUCCUUGCGUGUUCAUUAAAGGAUGCGUACUCGAAAGAGAUUGAAAUAGGGAUAGUUUUAGAAGAAGAUCAGUUUCCUCAUAAAUAAUGAAUUCUGUUUUAUCAGUUAAAGAGGUUCUUUCAUAAAGACGGUUUUAUCAGGACUUUAUUGGGGUGUUGUUAGUAGCUCAACCCUAAAUUGAAUUAAUGGGCUGGCAAACCUAAAAGGUAUUUGACUAAUCUCCUCAUGAAGCUCCAUUUUUAAUUAUAUUUAUUUUUUUUUUGAAAAUAAAUUUAAUUUUUAUUUAAUUUUUUUAUUGUUAAAACUUAAAAUAGUAUUAUAUUAUUUUUUUCAUUUCUUUUGUAAUCUUAUUGUUACUCGACAUACAAACUGAAAAGUUUUCUAGUUGAUGAAUUUUUGGAUGUUAAUUAUUAGCUUAAAUAGCACAUUUAUUUAGACUGUAGUUUGAAAGUAAUGUUAAGUACAAAAAUAUUUAAUUAAUAAGAAAGAGGAAAAGAAAAAUAAAUUAUUUUAAAUUUGUACAAUUUAUGUUAGUUACAUAUGAAGUAACAUCUAGAAAAAAAAAAAAAAAGCGAUUGAUCAUGAAUGUGAGUAUUUUGUUAAAAAAAAUAAAAAUCCAUGUGUGUUGACUUCUUAUUUGUUCUUAACUAUAAUUUUAUUUGAAGUAGGGUUUUAUAAGGAUAAUGAGGGGGUGCCAAUAGCUUCACUCAAUGGUAUUUAUCCUACUCAACUUAUUUCACUAGCCCCACUAUCUAAUUUGUUUCUAAACCUACCAUGUAUCAAAAAAUAAAUAUAGUAGAAUCUCAUUAAAUUAAUAAUUGAUAGAUUGAUAACCUUGAUUAAUAAUCUAAUUUGUUUUUUUUUAAAAAAAAUCUUAUCAAAUAAUUCAUAAAUUAAUAUUAACUAAUUUAAAACUAAAUGCAUAUUUAAUAUGUCUAUGAUUUUCUUUGUUGUACUAUUAUAAUGCUUUAUGCAUUUCAUUUGUCACUAUUGCUUUUUUUUUUUUUUAUACUUUUCAAAUAAAAAGUCAUUGUUGUAUUCUAUAUGCUACGUCAAGAGAAAUAAGAGAGAUGGCUUAAUAUAUUGCCUUCAAAUGUCUUCUUUGAUGAGUUACCAUGUAGUUGUGAUCUAACCAUACAAUCUCACCAAAAGAUUAUCACAGGACUAGUUCACUCAAUCAAGAACAAAUAAAAACUAUAUUAUAUAACUUGACGAAAUCACUACAUUCUCUAAUUAUACUACCUUUACACUUCAUAAAAACUCCAAUUAUGAAUUGUUAUUAUCUUUAUAAAUCAAUGGUUAUUAAUUUAUCAAUGUAUUAAUAUUUGCUAAAUUAAUAGAUUUUAAAUGAUCCUGUUAAUUUAUCAAGGUCAUACUAUCCUGUGCUUUAUAUAUAUAUAUUUUUUCUCAAGUAUCACCUGCUAUUUAUUUCCAUUGUGGAAGUUUCGGUAACAGUGGUGGAAGAAGGUGGUUGGAAUUUGUGAAACUGUUUUUGUGUUUUUUGUUUUAAUGAUAUUUUUAUUUUCCAAUAAAGAUAAUUAUAUAAAUAACUGCAGUUAAUUGAAAAGUGGGGAUUGAUAAGAAAAAUUAAGAGAUUUAGAUAGCACUGCUAUUUAAACAAAAAAAGAAAAGAAAAGAAAUUAAACAUAAAGAAGAAGUAAUUAACCAUCCCCGCUUUAAGUAUCCUUGAAUAUAUUUCGCAUAUUUCGGGUUAAGUAUUUUACUUCACGUGAAAGUGUGAUUGGGCUUGGACGGAAAUCCAAUUUUGACUUGACCAAUGUGCAUUUUAAAUGCAAAUUACCCCUCUAAUUAGAUAAGAAGUGCUUCAGUACGCUCUUCAAAACAAAUAAUACCAUAAGCAAUUAAUUCUAAGCGUAUAUCAAAUCCACGGAAGCAGUAAUUCGCUAUGAACAUUCCCAACAUAAUUAAUUGGCUUCAAGUGACAAGCAUAAAGCCAGAAUCAGUGAUCAUUCUCGGAUAUACAAGAAAAGAAUGCCAUGUAAUGUACUGAUAAACACAUAAAUGUCAUGAUGAGGGUACGUCUACGGGGUUGUGGGCUUCAAUAUCCACGUGCCGUAUGCCAGGAAGAGGUCCUGGAUCUCCUUCUCUAGUCUAUCAACUUCAGUUCCUAAAGCUGUACAACUUCCUCACUUGCACCAAGAACUCGAUGUUAAAACAUUCAAGCACAAUUCAAGAUAUAAAAACAAACUGCAUUCAUACCAUAGUUCGACAUGAUUUUAAGCAAGGCUGUGUCGUCCUUCUCCUUUGCAGCUUCAUGAAACUGUAAUCGGAGCCAGUCGGACAGAUAGAAAUAGUUAAUGAUAUUAACUUGUGAAGUAUGGCAUGUGUCAAUUCAACAAGGGAGUUGAAAGUAAAAUAUAUGCACGUAAUGAAUUUGUAAGCGUUAGGACUCACAAAGUUAAUAGUUACCAAAACAUUGGACUGUAUCAGUUUCUAAUAUGCAUGUGAUAAAUUUCAAAAUAAGAAUGUGAAGUAAUGUAAAGUAGAGACUAAGAUGAUUAACCUGUUUGGCCCAAGCUUCACGUCCGGUUCUCUUUAGAUAAUUCUGUACAACCAUCACUCCGUUGAAAUCUGUUUCAAUUCAGUCAAACAUCAUCGUAUCAUAUUAAUACACCGCUACUGCCAAAUUAAUUCACAUUAAUGAAACUAAAUUUCAUGAGUGGCAUAGCUGAAUAAUGCCUGCUUCUUUCCACUUUCAAUACAUGAUUAAAAUGAUUUCUUAUCAUUACACAAAGUUUGCAUCUAUGUAGGCAAUUAAUCAUCACAAAUAUAUGCUGUGUACUCCAUAUUAUCUAUAUGAAUUUACAAAUGCCAAAGCAUCUCAUAUGGAUUGUAAACUAAGAAUAUUAUCAGAGAAAUUCACACCUCUUUACAGAAACAACAAGCUACUACUCUUGCAAAGAUUUCUACAAAAAUGUAGAUGCCAAAUGUAACAGAGACGACAUGUUGUUGACAAUAAUCAGAUAUUGAUGUUGACAGAAAUUAACUCUCUGACAAAUCGGCAAAAGUACGAGCUAACACAGGGAAGAUUGGAAACUUUGACGGAUAUAUUGAUUUUAGAAGGAAAUUCAGGAAACGAAGUUCCAAGAAAAAUAAAAUUGCGGUAGGACAUGGCAAGAAAAAUCACCUAUCUCCGCCUUGAAUCUAAAGAAUCCCGGUCCAAUCACCUCGCUUUUGCAAUCAUAUAGAGCAUCUACAACCUGCCAAAAUUUUAGAUUUUCAAACAUGGGAACAAUGCACAGAACAAAUGUAGUCAUAGACUUAUCUUACAUGAACAUACCGGAUCAUUUUUCAAGAAAUGGAGAAUCUUCUCCAUAUCAUGGUCAUCCAUAGCCCUACCAAUCAAAGCAUGACGAUUCCUUUGUAUUAGAAAUAUAGCCACCUGCACAGGAGAUACAGUUCAUUACCUAUAACAAUAGUGAAAGUUUUAUUAGUUGUUCUCUUGUCAAUAUCAUAUACUAAACAGCGAUAAGAACAGUAAAAUCUGAUGACAGUUCCAAGAUAAGCCUGACCAUCAGAUAUUAUUGAUAAAAGAACAGUAAUUUCUGCAUGGCCAAUUCAUUAUUGUGCAGCAAGCAAUCUUGCUUUUGCCACUAUUCCUCCUCUUCUACUCUUAACUAAUAAUACAAAACAAGCCAUUUUCAUAUUUUCAUACUCAAAAUUUCUAAUUUUAAUAGCCAUUGAGGCUUAAAUUUACAAUUAAACAGAUUCCUUCAACCAUCUCUUUUAAUCACACUUAUCACUUUCUGUAACAAUCUUAUUUACCAUUUUUGGGAGCCUAUCCCCAAAUUCAAAUAAUCAGUAAAUGUAUAAAUUCCAUAUUCAUACAGAUAAUUUUUUUUUUCAAAAAUGCAUUUUAUAUUUUAAAGUUUUUUCUUUCCAGUUACCAUGCAGCCACCCGAUCUCACAGUAAAUUAAACUAAAUACCUCUCCAAAGUUGGUGUGAGUAGGAUUCAAACUUUUCACCACUUAAUUUCACUAACAGGCCACGAGGCCAAACUAGCUGGAGUGUUCCCUUGAGGACUUCGUACAGAUCUAUUCAUGAGAUCAAUAAAAACUCAAAACAUAAAUGAGCAGUAGAAAAAUCAAUUGAGAAACAAGGAUCCUGUUUCAGUAAGAUUUGAACUUAAAAGCAACCCAAGCUGCCAAUCUUUCUGUAGCUUGAAGAAGCACGGCUGAAUGGUGAGGUACCAUAUGACAAAGCAUACACAAGUCAUCAUAUAGCAUUCUCUAUUUUUGAGUUGUCAAUUCUUUGAAAUUGGGUACCUAUUUAAAGCUUGGAAGAAGUUGGUUGCCACUUAACAAAAGAACCCUUUCCUUUAAGGGUCGAUAAUACAUUUUCAGAAAGGUCCAAGAUGUCUCAGCUGAUGCCAUUUUCUCAUUGAUUUCUGAGUGACAGAACUAUAAUGCAUGUCUCAGAGAACCAAUUACUUUUAGAAAGUGCCUUUUCCUUGCUCCAAAUGGUAAAAUAAGAGCACAUUAGAAGUUCACAUGAUACAAUAAAACUUCUCUAUAGUAAUACUCUGUAUAAGAAUAACCUUCAUAUAGUUAUAAAAAAUUCUUAUCCCGAUUUGGGCCAAUUAUAAAAAAAAAUAAAGUCCACAUUGUAAUAAGUUACAAUUUUAUCCUAUUCUAAGGAAAUUACCUCUAUAUAGUAAUAAUUAACUGCAUAUUGUAAAAAUAUAUAUACUAUACAACAUUAGAGGUUUUAGAUGGAAUAAAAAAAAAAAAAACUUUCUAAAGUUGUUAAGGGCAAUAUUUAUUUAGAUUCUUAAGAUUAUUUUUCAUAUUUCCCAACAUUACAGAAAUUUUAUGUACUAGUAUUUUGAAAUUAUGUCUCCCUCUUUUAUCAAAGUCUAUAAAUCGGAUUUGACAUGCCCAUUAACUAUAUUAUCAAUAUAGUGUGUGUUUUACCUCUAUAUCAGUGGCGGAUCUAGAAAAAUAAUUUACCGGGGGCUAAAUUAGAUAAUAGUAAAAUAUGAAAAACUAAAAUUUUGAACAUAUAAAAUAUUUGCUAAUACAUUUAUAAUUAUUCUCUACGCAUUUUCAUAUUUUAAAAUGUUAUACGAUAGACUCAUUAUCAAUAUUAUUAAAUUUAUUGUUUCCUGUAUAAAUAACCAAACUAUCAUUUAUCCCAUAUGAUUCCAAAGAUGAUUUUUCAUGAGUUUCAUUCCUGAAAACGUUCGCUCCAGUAUUAUUAUAGAGACUGGAAGAAUUAAUCAUAUUUUUUAGAAUAGAAAAUAUUUUGAGUGGUGGGCUAUUAUUAUUUUUAAUUAAAAUAUAAGUUUUUAUAAUUCUUAAAAGUUAAAUUUUAAAUUUUAUGGGGGUUUAUAAUUUAUAGUGAUUAUUUUAAUAAAUUUUUUAUGGGAGCUAAUUAAAAAACUAAAUUAUUUUUCUUUUUUAAUUUUAAAAAAAAAAAUUUUUUGCCAGUGGGGGCUUGAGCCCCCAUUGGUCACAUGCUAGAUCCGCCCCUGUACCCCCCAUUGGUCACAUGCUAGAUCCGCCCCUGUAUAUCACUUACACUAAGGAUAAAUGAGUCAAAAUAAUAAUUUUUGUAACUACACCUCUGUUAAGUUAUAACCUCAUAGUAAUAAAUUAGUUUGGUCCCAACAUUGCGACUACAAAGAGCUUUUACCGUACUAUCAUGUGGAGAUUUCCAACCUCAGGACUUUCUAAUGCAUGUAUAAGUGAAUUUAUUAUUUUGGAAAAAAAAUACCAUUCCAAGAAGGUUUCCAACUAUAAUUGAACCAAUUGGGUCAUAAAUUGCAUUUCCUGUGACAUUAACUGCAAUCAAUGAUGCUCCAGCUAUAACAAGGCCGGUAACUGCAGCACCAUCCUGCAUAACAGAAAUCAUUUAUUAGGGGUCCCAGACAAGGAGAAUAGUUGCAAUGUAUAUAUAGUAUCAGACAUAACUAGAGAACAAAUUAUCAGCAAUCAACCAAAAUAUAUAUUUUUAAUUUGAAUUGCAAAAUGUAGUUAAUUGCAGUAAAGAUGAUUAGGGACAUACACGGCUAUACAAAGAUUCACAAACAAUGUGCACACACAUGGUAGAAGGAUGAAUUGUGUACAAUUGCUUAUCUAAACUAACAGUGAAGAAUACACAAUAAAUACCUCUGUCAUAACAGCAACAGAUGUAGGGUCAUGACCACGCCAGAUAUAGUCUCUUAUUGUCAUACCUUCUGCAGCUGCUCCUUUCUUGACAGCUUGUAUCGCAACAAGAAGAGAAGCACCUGUAGGAAAGUAUAAUGAACUUAAAUCAAGAAAAGACGAAGAUCAAAAGGUUAAAACUAGCCUCUUCAGACCAUGUUGUUAACCUAAAAUCACAGUCUGUGAGCUAUACCUUCAAUGAUAAAUGAACCACAAAUCACCAAAGCUGCAUAUUUCAUAUUUUCAGGAGCCUGUAGAAAAAACACGCAAAACUAUAUAAAUAUGCGUAUGUUAAGGUAACACAGAAUAUUUAGAAUUUUGGAUGACAUAAUUUGUUUCAUUACCUCUGCAGUCCACAAGUGUUGAAUUCCAUUGACAAUUGUAGCACCAGAACCAAGACAAAAGAUCCCGACAGCUGAUAUCAAAGACCAAACAAAUCGUUCCUUGGAAUAGCCAUAACUGUACAAUUGGGGGAAAAAAUAAAUAAAUCAAUUCAGUGCAUUCUUAUAACAAAAAUAACACCUACGUCUUCACUCUAAACAUGAAUGAAAAUUUCUGUCUCCAUUGAGUAAAGUUUAAAAAAUAGAAAGCACUAGUGUCCUUUGGCUAACGUACUCAAAAAUAAAAAAUAAAAAAUGCAAAACAUAUGUAGCCUGAAAUCUAGAAACAAAUUUAUACAUGAGAUGAAGUGCUGAAAGAUUGAAAAACAAGGAAAAUGCAGGCGAUUUAUUGUUAAUGAUGAUGGCUUAUGAUGUAGAAAACUUACGGAUGAAGAGCAUCAGGAGCACGCCUGGAGCUACUCAGACCAUAAGCUAGAAGCACCUGCAAUUUUAAUAAGAAUUAUUUUCUCUGCAAUGAGUAAUAUAUGAGUUGAUUUAAUUUGAAGGAAGAAAGAAAACAAGUGCAUCUGCUAGCCUCGUUCCGAAGAACCUUCAAGAUAAGUACCUGAUUAGCAAAGUCCGCAACCGAAUGCACAACUUCAGCCAGCAUAACAUGGCUAGAGGUCCCUAGCCAGACCCCAAACUUGAGAGAGAAGACAAGGAAAUUUCCCCACAAUGCAGUCGUAACCGCUCUUUGACUACAUACAGAUUUGAGGAGAUGAUAAUAGCAAGAAACAAAUCAGAUAAGUUUUAAGGAAAAAAUGGCAGUAAAAUAUAAUACAGGAUAGCAAAAGAGAAGCACCAGCCAUCUUACGUAUACAACCAGAUCAGAUUGAUCAUAACCAUGUUCAAUGUUAGUAAUUUAUUUCUUCUUGCAAUUAUUAGGGUGGUCUUUUUUCCGGUUAGUUUCUUUAAAUAAAUAUAUCAUUUCAAUCGGUCAUUGUCUGGUAGAAAAACAAUACCAAAGAUUAAAUUAUAGUUUAAGUUCUCAACUAAACCUGUUUAUUCUCUUGUCACAUAUUUCCCAGUAACAUAACAAACACAGGAAUACUUACAAACAACCAAAUUUACUCUAAUAGUAUUUGAACCAUGAUGUUCUAUGGCAUAACAAGAUUAAACAGUGCUGCAUAAAAAAGACAUGGACUAAGCAUCAGCAUCCAUAGAAAUUGACAUUAUCAACACUUGUUGGUUUGUAGCACAGGUUCCAAUUCUUGUCAGAAUGCAUGCAUCUAAAAUCAGUUGGCUAAAGAUUAAUCAGAAAACUAAACAAUAGGAGGAUCCCAAUCCCUUCUUUUCCCAUGCUAGAGUUGUAAAAGAUUCAUUUUUCAAGUCCUAUUCAACUAUAAAAAUGCCCACCAGAUGCAUUUUCCAAGUCUCAUUCAACUAUAAAAAUGCCCGCCUUUUACCAAAUUAGGAAUGAAAUCGGGCUCUAUCAAAUGCCUCGUUCUUCAAGAUACUAUUUGAUUGGAAAAAUUCCUCAAAUACACGUUUCCUACAGUUCUACCAGCAUUUUUAUUGUGAAGAAUACCGUCAUUAACAAAGACACUUUGUACUGUUCCUAUUGCAGAAUGCAUCCAUGAAGAGAACUUUUUCUUUCUUUAGACGAAUACCACUUUUACAAGGUUGUUUACACAGUAAUGUGCUGAAUGAUUCGCAUCUAUAAUGUUAGUUGUCACAACAUUCUAUCUAGAUGAUUGCCACAAAUCAAUUGCCAAUUGAUAAAAAGGCCAAGAGAAAAGUAGUUUAUCAGACUCCUUUUUCCAAAUUAACAAAUGUGCCUAUUACUCUUAUCUCCCUCCUUUUUUUCUCUUCAUAUUUGAACGUUAAACAUUAUCAUGCUUCGAGAAUUUCAUUUCCAAAAGGAAAAAGUUAAAAAAAAAAAACUUAUCAUCACUCAUUUCAACUACAUUACCAUGAUCAUACUUGCUUCCCAAUUAUAACCAAUUAGCGCACUUCAUAAACUCGAGUGCUACUAAUGCCACCAGAACAUUGAAACACACUGGACCUUAAAUAUCAUUCUACAACCUUCUACCUAUCAACGUGGACUUUUGAAAGAGUGGGAAAUCAAGUAUCUCGUAACACCCAAUACUAUGGCCAAAUUAUAAAUUUAUGCCCGUAUUCACAAAAAUGGAAAAUAUAUGCUCGAAGAAAAGAAACAACACAUUUAGGCGACAGCUUCAAAAAUUUUACCUGUGUUCAUCUGUAGUCUCAAUCUUCUUCACCUGCUUUGCCCUCGUAAAAAAAUCUAUAAUAAUUAAAAAAAAAGCACACAUACACACACACACACACACAAAGUUAGACCCCAAUUCACAUUUAAAUCCCAAAAUAAAACAAACAGGCAAAAACAAAAUACUUACUGCGAUUAGAGGAGUACUUAUGAUGUUGAUUACUACCGCUAUUGUCAAAAGAAACCAAACCCAGUAACACGAAACGUUUCGAGCAAUGAACCGAGCAAAAACCUCGAAACUGAUUAGUAUGCUCUAAAAUGCUAAAGAAUUUUCCAUUGUUAUCAUUUAUAAAUACAUUAAAGGGAGAAGAAGGGUUUAAAACGGCAGUGCGUUUAGAGGAAUGGAGAAGGCGAGAGAGGAAACGCCAAGAUGUUCGCAUCAAAUCUAAAUCUUUUCUUUCUUUUUCUUUUUUUUUUGGCUUAAUUAAGAGAAAUUCUGAUAUUGUUCUAAAUUCCCCCAAAAUGUUCGAGAUGUUAAGUACCCACAUUCAUAUCGAGGGUUGAAAUGGAGUUGGUAUAAAGAAAGCUCAAAUAUGAAAGGGAUUCUUGACGUGAUAGCAGCAGCAGCAGCAUAUUCCGUCUUCUAAAGAAGAAAAGAAGGUGACUGUCUGCGACUGAUUAUUGGGAAUGAGAAAGUAAAGCAGGGACAGUGGCAACGGGUAGUGGAAAGCAAAAAUUUAGCCCAAGUAAUUUUUGUAGCCCAAAUAGCCAAUUCACUUUUUUGGACUACGGGCUAAAUAAAAUUUACCCAAAUUAUAUAUAUUUUCUAAAUUUAUGUAAGAUUUUAAUAGAAUAUAAACAAGUUUUCUAAUCUCAAUAUUUAAUUAAUUAGGGUCAUUAAUCCAUAGAUUUCUUCAACUCCAAGUAAGAAGUACUUGUGCCUUUUAGGCUUUUAGCUCAAUUCUUCAUAAUCGCUAGUAGGGACUAAAAUAUUAAAUUAUAAUCCUCGGAAGCUUAGGAUGGAUAAACCAAAUAGUACUCUUCUCAACCGGUAGCAAACUAACCCUAAUUAAAUCACAUUUUAAUUUAUCUGAGGUAAUACAAUUGUCUGGUAGGAAUUUAUGACGUGCGGUUUCGUUUUAAAACAACUACCUAAUUGUUUGUCAUUUUUACAAACUAAAUACACACAUGAAUGAGGUGACAUAUAAGAUAUCCAAUAAAAAAUUUAUAGUUCUUUUACAAAAUAAUAAUAAUAAUAAUAAUAAUAAUAAUAAAAGUAAUUAUUAAGAGUGGUGAUUUUGACCUCCUCAAUUUAUCUCAUCAGUCCUCAUUUUUCAAUUAAUAUUAUUUAUUUCAUAAUUGGCCUUGCUAAAUAAAUAAAUAUUAUUUCUUCUCUCAAGUUCUCAAUUGAUUCACAAUUUGAAUCAAAUGCUAACUCAUAAUCAAAUCCCAAAUAAAAAAUUAAACAAAAUCUUAAAUUUCUAUAAGAAAUCAAAACCAAUAUUAGUAAUAAUAACAAAACAUACCACUUAUUCAUAAAAUUUAAUAAAACCCAAUGAUGAAACUCAUUGUAUACUAGUAAAGGUGAUGUAUUAAUAGUGAAGAAGAUAGGUGGUGAUGGCAACUUCUUGUUGAUCAAGUGUUGGGGGUGAUGGACCGAUGGUUAUGCACUUAUACUAGAGAAGGACGGGGUUUGGGGGGAGGUAGAGAGAGAAUAAAAUAAAAUAAUAACUUUGAUUUAUUAAGGAUAAUUUUGAAAAGUAAUAAGAUAAAUUGAAAAGUGAAAGUUAAUCAGAUAAUUUGAAACACUCAAAUAUAUUCACUUGAUAUUAAUAACUUUCUCAAAAUAAAGGAUGGUAGAAAAAUUCAGUCCAAACUUUAGUGUUUCGGGCCGGAUUUGGCCCCACAACUCGAGCAAGUUUUCUUAACACUAGAUUCGAGCUUGAACUUUACCUAAAAAACCCAACCACGGCCCGAAGGCCGAAGAAAUUCUUAAAAAAAUAUUUUAAUUACAAUACACCUUUUAAAAUAUAUUUAACCCAUCCAUAUAGCAUAUAUUUUAAGUACUUUAAUCCCAAUUUUUAAAACCUAAUCUAACCGCUGCCUAUAUUACGAGGCAACCUGCACUAGUUGACUGAUGGGUUAACCAGUUACCACAUCAUGUGUUCUUACAAAAUUAGUCAACCAAUAUGGUCCUAUCAUUUAACCAACAGCUUGUAAACAUGUGAGAUUAGCGAAAUAUGAAAUAAAAGCUAACGCCAAAAUCAUCACCAAUGAUUAUGCAAUGGGGAGAGAAUCCUGAAUGUUUUAAAAAUCAGAGCAUUUCAAAGGUUCUUUUAUUUUCUAUUGCCUUUAAAAAGGCAACCACUUUGAGAUGCGUCCAUCGGUCCAUGUGGCUCAGGAAGAAGGAUAUGUCCUGCGAUAUCAUUUGCUAGCGCAAGUAUCGAGCUUGUCCCUGCUCAUUUGUUUCAUUUCCAGGCGAGAUUGAACCUGAAGAGCUUGAUAUGAUAGCGAUUAGCGAACAACGGGGGGACCAAAAAUCUGCUUGCUAUUGCUACGCCUCGCAAUAUCAGUAAUAAGACCGAUGAUAAACUUUACAACACUGCAUUAUCAGAAAACUAGAAUGGUAAACCAUGUAUCAUUAAUUCAAGCUUUAGCAGUGACUUGCAAGGAAGUGAUGAAAAAGCUCAAGGCAUCUCAAAUAUUCUUAACAAAAAGUUACAGAUUGGUAUCACCUCGCUGUUUAAUAACAGGUUGGGUCAGAACUCAAAACCCAUAUUCCUGUGAAAUAAUAAUAACAGAUGGCAAUAUCUAUAUACUCUAUGCUACAUAUCAAUCACCUUAAGUUCUAUUCAACAUUUUUAUCAUAGGGUACAACAUUUCCUAUCAGCUGAAGCAGAGAGAAUCUGUUAAAGUCGCAUUGUUUGCCGAAAAGGGAACAGCAGAAUUCAUCAGGCUCUGGAUCUGAUUUCGAGUACACCAACUUUCUAACUCUCUCUGGCUCUUCAUCUGAUUAGAGCCUGGAAUUAUCAAAUUUGUUCAACCAAAAAUAGAUAACAGCUAAUGAAUCCUGAUAUCAUCAAUGAAUCGACCUCCCUUUCUACCACGUAACCUGAUAUUUGGUCUAUGAUGGCCAUCCGAUCUCCCAGAGAUCUCUCCAUCACGUUGGGUCACAAUUUUUAAUGGGUGGGCUUCUGUAUUGAAAACCCACUCAUCUAAUGAGAUUACUGUUGUGGGAGAGAAAAGAAGAUACAGAUAUUUCAGUGUCUCUGCAAGAAAGAAGCUUUGCAUCAUGUUGUCUUUGUCGCCAGUAUUAACCUGAGAAAACACAACAAUCAUUCGUAAAUAAAUAAGAGCACAUUAGCAGUAUAAAUAAGAGCAUAUUAACAAAUCCACCGGAAAGGAUAGACAUGCAGAAGAAAUAGAAAAAUAUAUAACAGAAGACCGAAUAACCAAAACAUUUAAAAACAUUUUCACCGUUUUUUACCAAAUGUCGGCUCAUAAAUGACCGUAUAGAUUGUCCCAAGAUUUAGCUAAAAAUCUGCCAAUGGAAAUUGCUUUUGUGUAUAGUUAGCAGACUAUGCUCACUAAUGCAAACAACUAUUUAAAACAAAAGAUCAAACAUUCUUUACUACGGAGGUUUAACAGUCAAAGAUACUAAGAAGCGCAUUUUCUAAAAAAGCAUCCCCAAGUUUCGUAUCACGUCAGCUUUUUGAUGAAAACAUACUGAAGCAUACAGAAUAUUUAUAGAAAAAGAUCUUAUUUAAUGUUGGAGGUUUGAGGUGUCCUUACAUCUUUCAGUCCAACAUAUCCUGAUUCUAUUCGGGAGUUCUUUUCGAAUGCCUGAAAUAUGUUCCAACCCCACUCUUUGUAUGUCUUGUUGCCAGUUAGACGCCACAAGUAAAAAAGUGAUUCAACAGUCUCAGGUCUCAGUAUGUUCCAUGAUGUGCCCACAGACAUGUCCUGAAAAUGUAACAAAUGAACACUGGUAAACAGCAGUACCUUAAAAAUUGAAAAUUCAUUUGAUAAUACAAAAACUGCAAACCUGCCCAUCACGAAAGAAGUAAUUCUCUCCAGCCAAUUUUGUCGGUGUUGACUGGUAGAAGUUAUAACAUGUCCAAGCAAGCUGCAAAAAAAGACAGAAACAUCCAGUGAAAAACCCAUCUCACAUCAUCCUUGGUUUUGAUAUGGGAAAGAAGGACCAUACACUAGAAGCUAAUGAAUGGUUAGGUCAGCAAUCCAAAUUAAAUUAUAUUUCAAAUUAAAAAUUUUGGUUCUGGUUUAUUCCUUUAAGUACUGGCCUACUAGGAAAAGAAAAGAUUAACCAAAUAUGAGAUUCAUACAAAACCAUCUCGGUCUUAUACCCCAAACAAAUCAGAUCAUCUCCCAACUUCCAUAUGUAUCUGGUAAAUCAUUCAAUCAGAGAUUUGUUAAUAUUUUUCUCUUUCCUCCCCAACCCAAAUUAAAAAUCUCUCCUUGGAAUUGAACACUUGACCUUUUGCUUCCAAUGUAAGAGGCCAAACCAAUCGGCAAUAAGAGACAUACACCAACAGACACACAUAUUUUAUGUCCUUCUAUCAUUUUUUUAUUAAGAAACAGAAACUUGAAUUAUAUUCUAAACAAUGUGAGGUUUACAAAAAAGUGAACAAGCAGUCAAAAAAACCAGGAUCAGCCUGGCAGAACCUCAAAAUCUAUUUACAAAGAACCUUUCCACUCAAGCCAAAGAUAAAACACUCUUGACUGUAAAAAUCAAGACGAUAUUCGACUUAGCCCAAUACACUUCCCAAUUUGAACUUAUGUAAAAGAAAAACGGGUCCUAAAAUUCUUGUCUCUGAUGCCCAAAGAAAAAAGCACCCUAAAUUCUUGCCUUAUCCCAUAAAACAGUUAACCAUCUUCCCCAGCCAAGCUUUCAAAAUCACCCUUUUUCCCCCCGUGUUUGUAGAAAUUCCUUUGACUUCAAUAACCUAUCAGUCUUAGUAGAUAAUUUGGUACCCCAGAUGCUUCUUCCAAACAAAAUUCAGGUAUAUAUUAUCAAAACUUCAUUCAAUUUCGAAAAUCUUUCCCAGAGCUUUCAAAAAUUUGUCCAUUUCUUUCUUGAAAUUCCUUUGAAAUGUUUAACAACCUAUCAGUUUCAAAGUCACGGGUAAUUUGGUAAUCCAGAUGAUUCUUGCCAAACAAAAUUCACAUAUAUGUGAUCGAAACUUCAUUCAAUUUCAAAAAUCAUGUCAUUCGGUAACUUAAAACGGUACCUUAAAAUUGGAGGUGAAGACAUUGCAUUAUUCAUCACAACGUAUAUGAGUUCACAAAACAAUGUUCUUUUUUCUUGUUCUUGCACAAAAUUUGGGUAUUAAUAUAUUUUCCGAAGUGAGACAGAAGGAAUACCUCUUCUGCAAGAGAGAGAAAUUUCUCAGAGUCACCGGGUCCAUAACCAGAAGAUCCUAAAGCAAUCAUUCCAGGAGCGAAGCAUGCUAAUUCAUCCAUCUGCAUAGGCAUGGUGUCAAAAUAGCCAUCAAUAUCUAGCAAUUACUAAUGCAUCCCUACAGUAGUGUAACUGAGUAUUACCUUGUCUAUCAGCGAGUCCCCAUUCUUCUCACAAAUGUAUGUAAAAGACGAUGGUGUUGAUCUCCUAACCAAGCUUAAUAGACCUUUCAUUGAUGUCUCCCACAUGUCCCUGCUUGAAAGAUUCCACAACAAAACUUUGACAUCAAGAAAUUUAUGAGCACAGACACCUGGAUACUACAGAGAGAAAAAGGUUGAGUCUUGACCAGAGCACGAUUGCAGACACUUUAAAUAUUAAAACAUGAUAUCCAUCCUGCAUUAGUUGUCAUUUGUUCUUUUUCUUUUUUUCAGUCCCAGUAAUUUUCCACACUGAAAUGUGAAUUCUACCAGACUCAUUAUCCUAAACAUGUACCAUUGUAAAGAUUUUUUUUUUUUAAUAUUUCAGAAUUAGAAAGUGGGAGCUACUAUUGGAAAAAUAAAAGUAUAUUGUAAUGCAUUUGUAACUGACUCCUUAAUUUGUUGGCUUUAUCUGAGAAGACAGCUAAAGUGUAUGGAGCUGAAUAUAUAUUCCUUUUCACCAAAAUCCCAGUGAAAAUAGAAUCAUUUAACAUUUAAUCACAUUGACCAGUCCAGCCCCCACCACAUCUAAAUUUUACAGUAGCAUGUUUGUCUUUGGCUUUCACAUAAGAAAAUAAACUGCAAACAGCAAGCAGCAGUGGUUGAGUGGUUGCAGAUCCGAAUGCAGAUACAUAUGAGAACAAAAUCUCCUCACCUAUAAGGCUUCACUGCUGAAGUUUUAUUCCCUUGAAUCCAAACUUUGAGUAAAUAUUCAUAAAAGCUGCAAUAAAAUUUCAUUGUUAACCAAAAACUCUUAACAAUCUUGCAAAAUUAUACUCCUUUACUGACCUUAAGAAGUUAAACUAGAAAGUAAAAGAGGUUAAAUCAUAGAUGAUGAAAUGUUAAACCCAAGUAAGAUCACAUAAGUGAUAGUAAAUGUUCAAGCGGUGAAUACCUAUCACCCAUGGCACCAAAGGUUAUGGUCGAGUAUGAUGGAGUUCCCCUGUCAGGACUAAUAUAGAUGGGAAGCAGGCCAUCAGCAGGGAAUGUUUUAUUAAGCUCCACUAUUACUUUCUCAGCCUGAAACAUCAGUUUGCAACCAUCAACAGGAUCCAUUCACCCGAACAAAUCAUUCUUCAGAAAGAGAAGUGAACUAUUGACUGAUUACUCCCUGAACACUUUUGGUCUUCAAACUAACCUCUUAGUGCAUACGAAUAUGAAUAAUUAGCACUAAUUUGUAAGAUGUCAAACAUUAAGUGGCAAGUUCAAACACAAGAAUGAUGAACAACAUAUUUCCACAUGCAUAAACACAAGAAGAACAUACCCUCUGCCGAUACUUUGGGUCACCCGUCCUUUGUGAAAGAGCAAUCAAUUCUAGUUGUUCUGUACCAGAAUCUGCCAGAAUGCUCUCACCCUAUGAAAUGGGAAAUGACAGGAGCAAUCAAAUCAAAUAUACAUUCGUGAACAAAUGUGCGGGACAAAAGACCCAGCACAGCUCAGUAAGACACACAUGAGCUAUCACAAAAGAUAAAACAAUCUACUAAGAGACUAGUGUAAACUAUGUUAUGCAUGAUAAUGGAACAGGUUUACAACAAGAGUCUGGCAUUUACUUUUAGCAGUUAACUGUCAAAGAAACAGAAAAUGCUGAAAGAAUAGAUGGAAGAAACUUUUUGAAGAAAGACAGAAAGCUGUAAACUUGUGAAGAACCACAUUUAUUUUAAGCCAACCAAAUACCUACUGAUCUAACAGCAGGCCAGGAGCUUCCCAAGUGACCUUAAUGAAAUUUUUGCUGGGAUAAAGGGAAACGUAAAUAAAAAGAGCAUAAUCAACUUAAAGGAUGCCAUGAAAUGUGAUGAAUCAAGUUUAAAUAGUACAAAUAAAGUGAACGCUAGAAAUUAAAGCUAACAACUUACCCCUGUCCAUGAAGGGUUAUGUGGAUUUCCAUGUGCUAAGUUAAUAACAUUAUAGGGAAUUCCAGUGCGAGUAUUCCAUGCUGGCAACAAUCUAUCUGCAAUAUCUCUAGCUUUUUCGAGAAAAACUUUGUCUCCUGAAAGGUCAUAUGCACUAAGAAGUCCACCUACAACUCUGAAAUAUCAAAAAAGAAACAAGUCAGCAAAGGAACAUUACUUGUCCUUUCCCCAAGCAAUUAUAAAGAAAAGAAAACAGCGAUUGCCACUGACACUUGUUUCACAAAAUAAAAUCAACCAUGAAUUAAACCUGAUAACGCAACCUUAUGGUUGUCUCGAAAACACUAGCAUCAUAUGACUUGUUGAAAUCCAACGAGUUCGCAAUCCACCUGCAAAAGAAUGGCAUUAAAAAAAUUAGAUAAGUGAGACUCAAAAUCUUGUGCUAAAGAGUGUGGAGGUUUUGAGUCCUCUUCAAGGCAUAAAUUGAGAAUGCUCAUUCAAAUAUCACCAACCAUUGGUAUCUGGGAGACACAUUUAAUACUACAUAGACAUUAAGAGAUGAUGAAAAAACAGGGAGAAUUAUGCAUGGAGAAAGUGAGGGCAAAAAGAGAAGGAAAGAAAAGUGCCAGUAGGUCAAAUGAGGUUUGGAGUCAUGACACAAACUACAAAGCUAGAAAUACAAUAUAGGAAACACAUGAAGAAUAAUAGCUUCAAGCAUUAUGUACAACUUUUGAAAAUCAAACGCAUCCAAAAAACUUGCAAAAACAACCAGGAGUAUGCAACAGCUAGGAGAACAUCUCAACUGGAUAACAAGAAACUACUGUCCUGUGAAAAAAUCGGGACAAAGUUCGAUUAAUUGGCUGGAUAAAUCACAAACAGAGCAAUGAUAUGUUAAAUAAACCAUUAACUCCUCAGAAGUGACUCAUAUAAGGCUGAGAGAAUUGUAGAACAUACCCAGGUUCAAAGGGACUCUAAUUUCAAAAUUGAGGCCACAUAAUGAAGUCAAUCAACUCAUUCGCACACACUAAUUUUAAAAGUAUGAUAGAUGCUUUGCUCAAGAAACUAUCUUGAAUGGUCACUUAACCAGGGCAAUAGUAAGAGAAUAGACAGACUUUUUGCAAAUUAAAUUGCAUGGAAUUCAACUUUCCUAAUGUAUAUAUCCUGAUCUCCAAUGAAUAAAAUAAGUUCAUAAGGAAAUAAGCAAUUUCAAAAUUGUUAGCCUAUUUCCUGUUUUUAAGUUGCAAUAGCUGCACUUAUUUAAUAAGGCAGUGUUUUUAGAGGUGAAGCAGUUACUACUUUGCUGAAUAAAUGGUCUAUAUUGUGCCAAUCAGUAAAUAAGUAGAAUUUAAGCCUUCAAUAAUUUAUCUGUUUUGAAAAGGAGCAGGCAAGAUCCAUUUUAAUAAGCCAUUUUAGAACAUAACUUUAAAAGCUUUAGACAAAACACUUUAUGUCCAAGGUUUUGCAAGAAUUGGAAUGAUGCAAUAGAAACAUCAAAGGGAAAUAGGAACAAAUCAAUUUAAAGUGAAAGAGAGAAUCAACGAAAGGAAACUCACUCUCUAGCUCUUUGAAAUUGUUCAUCCAGACCCAUUAUGUAUAAUGUAUCGAGAGCAUCAAUUAGUGUUGCUCCAAGACCACCAAAGCUGUUGACCCCAUUCUUAGUCUGUGGCUGUUAACAAAAAUAAUUGGAGAAAUGAAAAGGUAAAAUUAGCAUGUUACUUCUAAGGCCAUGUAAAUAAAAUUCAUAUUGUAUGUCUAUGGAAACUAAAUUCAAACUUUUAAACAAUAAGCUAAGAGUUUGUCGACAAAUGAUAGCUGGCAAGUUCAGGAAUUGAUGCAGAACUCAUCUUCACAUUGGAUUUCAUUAUAAAGGAAGCAUGUACAACCAAAACUGAAAAAACCUAGUUUAUAAAGCAUUGGUGGUUUUCAAAUUGAAACAUUUUCCCUAAGCCUUUCCACGAUCCAGGCAGCACAAGAAAAAGUCCAAACAAUGCUUGUCAAGAUUUACAGUUAACCAUGUACUUAGAAGGAUCCAGCCAAAAAAAAAAAAAUCACCCCCUUUUUCCAAGCAGGAGAACAUAACUGUUAUUUUAAAAACAAAAUAAAAGAGAGAGAGAGAGUAAAGAAGAGAGAGAAUAAAACUAGUCCAGUAAUUCAGUGACAACAAUAUAUAUGAUGUAUCAAAAUUUCUCAUUUUUCGUCCAACAAAGUUCAGUUCUUCUUAGUUGGGUUCGGGUGGUUUGACCACAAAAUGCUAUGUUUACACACAAGACUACCCCUUUUCAUGAAAGCUUCACGGGGACUAGGGCUUUGGUCCAUCUCAGCUCUGCCCAGAAGGGCAAUUACAGGCAUUUUAUGACCAGCCUCCAACAGUUUGAAAUCAGGCCCCGAUGGGGAAAUGAAGAUAUAAAAAAAACAAUGAAGUAAACUUCUCCACACUAAAAAUAUGUGAAAGUAUUAGAAUAUAUGGUAUUAUCCAAUUCACUCACAAAAGAAUAAACUAGAUAAAUUUUUUGCAGUUCAGUGCUUUUUAUCAGCAAGUAAUCAUGUUUAGAAUUAAAUUAAAUUCCAAACAUUUCAACCCAUAAUUCAAGUUUCAAUCUUUUUUUCCCCCUGUUUUUGUCAAGUAAUGUUUUUAUUUUUAAUUUACAAACCAUGAUCGACAAGAUGUGUUUGUUGAACAUAAAUUCAGAGGAAAAAGAGUAGUCACUAAUUCUCCAAAAAAGGCACAUGGAAUAGAGAAGCUAACAAUUAAUAUAUCUAAUCCAUGUUAAUUUGCAUUAUCAACAGUAUUUAUCAUUCACUCAAACUUACCUGAAGUUCAUCUUGGCCCCAUGCAUACUUCUCAUAUGAACUCCAUGCAUGAAUCAUAGCAUCUUUUACUUUCUGUUUUCGCUGGAUAUCAAUAGGAUCCUCCGCAAAUGCCUUGUUUCCAGGGGGCUGUUUAGCUUGUUUUAUGUGAUCAAUUUUUCCAAUUACAUUGGCAGGGUUAUUCUUUAUCUCUUCCAGCUGAAAGAAUAAAUUUUGCAUCAAAACGACAGUUAAGAAUCCCUUAGAAAACUGCCCAUAAAGGUUGAAUUCAGGGUGCUGCUCGUGGCUUAAGAAUUCACUUGUAGCAUUAUUAGUCACAUAAAUAGCAUCGAAGACAGAUAAAGGGAAAUAUAAUAGGCCUUUUGCAUGUAUAUUUCAUUAUAUCAAUCAGAAAUUAUAGGGCCUUUGGCAGAAGUAUUCUUUCUUUUUUGCAUAAUAUGCCUGGGAAAAAGAAAUAAGCAUGCCACAACUGGGAGAAAAAUAGGUUGGUUUCAGCUUAAUUGAUCAAAACACCCAGAGAUCUGUUGAUCAUGAACAAUAGUACAACAAUAGCCAAGAUAUACCCAACCCCUCCUCUCCUCACCCCCAAUCUCCCACCACCCAUCCUCCUUCGUCCCUCUUUUAUCCAACUCCGGAAGAAGCAGAAAAAGGGAAAAAGAAAAGAGUAGAAGAGAAAGAUAAGAGAAUGCUAAGGUUGACAACUCCUACCAGAUUUCGCAAUUGAGUAGCUUCUUCAUUUAACUUGGAAAGUUCAACCUGCAAUACAAAAGAAUUUAGUUAUGCAAACACAUUUCAGUAAAUUAAAAAAAAAAAAAAAACAACUUUGACAGAGAAAAAAAGUUUACGAUAAAUUCAUUUCUGAAUAUAUAUUGUAUAUAUCCACCAAAGAACUUAUGCUCACACAUAUUAUAUAAGAACUUGCUUGAUGAACAUGGCCACAAUAGGGCAUUGUGUCAUUUUGUAGUGUGCUAAGUAAAUACAUUUUAAUCAAGAUGUUACAAAUAAAAUAUAGGACAGGGAGGAAAAGAAUACAAAAGUAAACUUCUCAUUCUAUUUCUCACUCCUUCUUUUAUAUUCCUCUUCAUCUUGUGACUCUGUAAUCCUCAUCCAAACCAACUAAUCUCUUUGAAAAUAACAUUUAGCUACUUUGUUACUUUAUUUACUUUAUUGGUUCAUGCCUAUAAAAUCGUGCUACAUUUGUGCUGGAGUUUUGACAAAUUACUUGUAAUGGAAUCAAGCAUCCUGUUUGCAACUCAAGGCUGACAUGUUCAAGAAACAACAACUUGGUGCCUAGCUUCUCCUAGCCCUCACUGUUUUUCUUACGUGUAUCCAUAUUAUCAAUUCUAGCUCAGUCUUCUCCUUGUUCUCCUUGGCUGCUUUUCGUGAAUACCCCAUUUGUAAUUCAGAUCAAGCUCUAACAUGAUUUUCACUUUUAGAGUAAAAUAUAUGGAUGUAAUCUACUCAUGUCAACAACAAAUGAAUGACCAGGACAAUAAAUCCAUCACCUGUUCACCCAUUUAUUGUAAAUUCAAUUAUCCGUCUUGAUGUGCGAGAAGGGUGUUAAAUGAUCCACCCAAUAGGUUCCACAACUUCUCAUUGUGCAAGACGUACAAAUUAGUGUAGGUCUUUUCAAGGACUGUUGCCCCCUCUCAACUUCAGCCUUCCUCAAUCUUUUUUAACAACUCAAUGGACCCCUCAAAAUUGUUUAAUCAUCAUUUUUCUUUGUUAAUCUCAAUUGGAAGGGGGUGUUGAGAUAGAGUAUAAAAGCUGGUUUGGCCUUCUGGGGGUGAUAGAUGAUUGGGUAUAUUUUUGUAUAGCACAGAAAAUUUAAGUUUUUGCGUACUCAGUGGACAACCGAUCAACUUUACUGUAAUGAUUCUUUAUCUUUAGUAAGUUUUCCAGUUUCUUACCAAAAGAGUAAUAAUUUAAAUAAAUGUACUUCCUACCUUAGCUGCUGGAAGCCUAUAUUCUUGAGGUGGAUGUUUUGGUCUUCAUUGGCCAUCGAAGUUCAAGUGAGUCAAGUACUUAUCUUGGUAAUUUCUCAUUUCAUUAACUAAAACUUCAUUUGUCUGUAACUGGACGCACUCUCAAUUCGUCAGUCAAUAUUUUUCUCAUUUUACUUAUAUUCUAAUAUAUAGUAAUACGACCUCCCGCAUUGGUAACUACGGCAUUGGUAACUACAAUUCUAGCUACAAUUGGCUUCUACUCUUUCUAUCAUAAAAAAAUUGCACUGGACUCUUAACAGAUAACACAGUUUCCUUCAAUGUAAAGUACUCUUAGAUCCAAGUUCCAGCAUAAAUACCGGAUAUUGUCAGCUCUAACUGUCUAUUCUUGCUCAAUACUCACACAUAAAUGCUCAAAAUGAGAUCCUAGAACCACCAAGUUCAAUGGUUAAUUUAAUCAAACUUCAGAUCGAUUUAAGAGAAUAUCAAACAAUCUACAUUCCUCGCAAUGAUGGAACGGAGACCAUUGAUUCUGAAGAAUCAAUAUAGAUUCCAAACUAAGAUCAUAUCAAAUCAACGGCUCAGAUUCUGUACAAUAUCUAUAAUAAUUAUACAUAACAUUUUGCAUGAACUAAAUAUCCAAUGCCAUUAUCAUCAUGUAAUUAACAAAUAUUAAACAACCAAACAAUAUUCACAAUUUUUAGAUUAAAGAAUUUUUUUAAAAAAAUACCUCGUGUUCUCUAACAAGAGUCUGGCGAUCCCAAACGACCAGAGUAACAGAAACAAACACGAUCAAAAGCAUAGCCAAACGCUUCGGUCUCUUCAGGUAAUACGCCGGAUUACAGUAUCUCAAUUUGCCACUUGAUGAUGAUAAUGAUGAUGAUGAUGAUCUAUUCCUCGCCAUCUGAUUGAUUAAAUUAGAUCUAACAACAAAAGCUGAACUCCUAAAUCAACUAUUUUAUUUUAUUUUAUUUUUAAUUUAAUCCAUUAUAGAUAAAGAUUUGUCAAAACGGAAGCAUUUGGAGCAAACGAGCGAGGCUGAUCCGAGAGAAGAACGGAAACGGGAACCGAAACGUUUCGAGACGAUCUUUUUGCUCGAAAAACGUUUCGAGGAUUUGAUUGUGUUUGUAUGAAAUGUUUGAUGGGAGAGAAAGAUAGGCGAACGAGUGUUUGUGAAGAAAAAGAAACACGGGAGAAUUUUACAAAGUGGUGUUUGAUUGAAGACCAAUUGACAGCUGACAUGUCAGCAACCGAAGACUAAGUCGCAAUAUUCUUCCUUUGUUUCUAUUUCUGUGUCAGUCAAGUCAAUGGUUAAUUUUUUUUAUUUUUUAUUUUUUGGAUUUAAAAAGUUUAUUGUUCAUUUUAAUUUUAAUAAAAUGAUACUUGCACGCGCGUGUUUUAUGUAUCAAGUAGAUUUUUGAAUCAAUCUCAUUGUUAUAUUAUGAAUCUAAGAAAUUUACGCCCCGUUGGGUAUUGUUUUCUGAUUACUGCUUUUAUAAAAUAAAAAUGGAAUGAGAAUGUUAUUUUUAAAUUUAUUUUUAAAAUUUAAAAAUGUGUAUGGCAUAAUUUUCAAAAUUAACCUUGAAAAUGAGAAAUGUAAAACAAGCCCGAUAGGAAUAUUUUAAAGAAUUAUUAUUAGAAUAAUUUCAUAAAAUUAAUAUUAAGUAAUGUAUAAUCAUUUUUAUUAUUUAAUUAGUUUGAUUAUUUUAAUUUUAAAAAUAAAUUAGGUGAUCUUGUUAAUUUUCUUGUUUAAAAAAUGAUAAAUUGUGCAUAUUUGAUUUAAUUAAUAUAUAAAAAUAUAAAUAUUAUAAUGUAUAUAAAAAGAAAAGAUUAUUGUAAGAGAAAUUUAUUUUUUUGGGUAUAAUAAUAGUAGUAAUAGUAAUAAUAAUAAUAAUAAUAUUUUAUCGUUAUUGUUGUUGAUGUUAUUAAUAUUAUUUUGAGAUAGAGCGGAAGAAAAUUAUUUAUUUUGUAAUUUAAUACUGUAUGGAAAACAAGAAAAAAUCAUUUUUUUUAUUUUCUUUGUUAAAAAUGUAAAAUAAACUUUAUAUUUUUAAAAAAUAUUUUCAAAAAAUAGAAAAAUGAGAUUUGGAAACGAUACCGGAUCAACCUGUUUAGAAUUUGAUGAUAUGAUUUGAUGAUCUACGAAACUCAAUUUGGCCAGUCGCCUAUAAUGAUGGCCUCGAUGACAUCGCGCAUGGUGGCUUUGCCUAAUUACAUUCAAUUUAAAUUGGAGUCAUUUUUUAUCAUUAGAGCUAGAACAUAUUUUUUUAUUGUUUUAUUAUUUUCUAUUUUAGAAUUGAUCAAUUUUUGACAAAUUUGAAAAUGCAUUUGGUUGCUUUUUUUAAACAGUAUCUAGUAAAUGAAAAAAAAAAUGAUUUAUUGUCUUUUGUUUGUCUAAAAAUUGGAGACAACAAAAGAGAGAAUGAAAUGUUUUAUAAGUGAAAGUGUUUUUAGAAAAUAUGAAUAACUUUUUUGUAAUAACUAACAAGAAAAAUAAAAAAAAUAUUAGUAACAUCAAUUUUUUAUAAAUCAAAAUUAUAACUAAUAUGAAAUGAAAGAUAGACAAAAUAAACCAAAACUUUAAGAAAUUCUAUGAAAAAUUAGAAUAAGUUGAUACGUAAAAAGUCUUGAUCAAUAACAAACCUUAUAAUAACUUAAUGCUAAUAUUAGUAUCUUAUUAAAAAUAAAAAUAGUAAAUAAAAUAAUGUAAUAUAGGAUACUAUUAAAGAUAUUACAUCUCACAAUUUAUAUAUGGAUCCCCUUAUCUUACAAUUAAUGUAAGAUACACCCCUUAUAUAAACAAUGCGUGAACCCCACAUAUACACUAUUUAUAUGAGGAGAUGUACCUUACAUUAAUUGUAAGAUAAUAUUUAUCUUUAUAUAUAUAUCAUCAAAUGAUCGAUAGUCAAUAGAAGUGAAUUAAUGAUUUGAUGAUACUGAAGUUGUGGGGUACAAUUUUAAUUUGAAAGGUCUUGCAAUCAUAGAAAGUCUUUAGUGGGGCCGUGUAAAUUGAGAACUUGUGGAGAACUUCUAAGGACCUAUUCGGUAUUAUUUCUAAAUUUAAUUUUCUAAAACUAAAAAUAAUAUUUUACAGUUACAAUAUUUAAAAUUUAAAUAUGCAUUUGGUAUUAUUUUUUAUAUCUUGUAUUUUUAAAAUUGAAAACAGUAAUAUUCGUUCGGUAGCAGCAACUGAAAAUGAUAAAAAUAGUAAAUAUGUAUUUAGUAGUACCAUUUUCAAAAAUAGUUUUACUUAACAUUUAAGUCAUACUUAUACUUAGAAAAUAAUUGUUUAACUAAUAUAUACCCUAUGAUACCAUAAAUAAUUUUAAAAAAUAAUUAUAGAAAAUUACAUGAUGAUAAAAUUUUAGUAUUAGCAUUAGUAAAAGAAAAAAUUUACAUUGUCAUUAUUUUUACAUUAUAAUUAAAUAAGCUACUCAUGAAAAGCAACCCCCUACAUAUUUUUAAAAGCUGCUGAUAAAAUGGAGAAAAUUAUGAAAUAACCUGCUUUUACAAAAUUUACCAAACACUAUUUUUAUAAAAAAAUUAUAAAAUAAGCAGCUUAUUAAAUUUUAACCGCACUCUCAAACUGGCCCAUAUUUUACAACACAUGCCAUUUAUUUAAACAAAAUAAUUAUAAAAAUUACAUAAUAGACAUCAUGCAUAUCUCCUUUUUACACUAUGAUUAAAAGUAAUCAAAUAUAUUCUACUACAAAUUUACCAAUUCAAACAAAGACCAAGCUAUUGUCAAAUGUUUUUAACUCAUUUUUUCAUAGCACAACCAAAAAAACUAAGAACAAUGAAAUCAUGCACACAAAAUAAAUAAUAAUUACUCAUUUUUUAACAAACAAAAUUUUACAAUAAUUAGUGUGAAAAAUAAAAUAAAAUAAAAAUUGAACAAUAAAAUUAAUAUAAAUNNNNNNNNNNNNNNNNNNNNNNNNNNNNNNNNNNNNNNNNAAAAAAAAGAAUAUAUAGAGCCAAGAGAGCAGCAAAAGCACCAAGAUAGAGUAGCAACGUAGUGAAAACGAAGCGCAUCAGCAACAUCGGUGAUGCAGUCGAGAAUGCAACACAAAAGCAGCGGAGAUCCUGUGCAGUGAUGGCGGUGGCAGAGAUGCAACGCAUCAAUAGCAACGAUGGAGACGCGAGGAGUAGCGGCAGAGAUGCAAGUAACAAUUAGAUUGAGAUAAAGAGGAGAGUGAGAGAGCUGUGAAAUCGAUGAAGAGAUAAGGAGAGAGAGUUGUGCUCGAUAAAAAUUUUUUUAGGAGACUAUUACUCGUGAUAUUUACAAUCAUAAAUUUAUUGAGACCAGUUUACAUCAAAUCUUGUAUGACACUGCUUAGAUUUUAACCCUUUCAAAUAUUCGAAGGACGUCAACUCCACUCCUACGAGAAAUACUGUCUUCACUUAAGUUUUGAGGAAGGAAAUUUAAAUUAAACAUUUACAAUGCAUCUGUGGGGGCUCUAGCCACUGGGCCAAGCCCUAGUGGUUGUGCAAGAUAAGAUUUUAGGGGGGAGAGAGAGAGCUUUUGGAUUUUACUUAAUAAUUCAUUUCAGAAUUUAGUUUGUAAUAUAUAGAGAACAUGUUAAAUAUGUUUUCAAUUUUAUAACUGUUAAUAUAAAUCUAGAUUAUUUGUUUUAUAGUUUAUUUUUUGAGUCCAGUCCACCGAACAUGUAUUGCAUCUAUAUUCUCAAAAUAAAAAUGAAAUCAAGGGCCCAAAAAUGCUACCAACACAGGCCCUUAAUUUCUUAGCUGAGAAUUAUCUCAUUUCCAUUAAAAAUGAGAAUUUCUCCAAUUUUGAGGGCAACCAACUGUGUUUUUCACUUUCACAUUUUUGAAAAACAAAAAAUGGUGAAUUGCUACCAAAGGCAGCCUUUCGAAAUGGUAAAUUUGUUAACAUAUAUGUUUCCAUAACGUUGAUUUUGAUGAUAACAAACAAGAUUAAGAAUUGUUAAUCUUUUAAGCUCAAAUUAUUGAAAAAUAUAUUUUAAAUAAAUCAUUAUUUUUACAUUAUAAAUGUUUCAUAUUUAAUGGAAAAUUGAUUUUAUGAAAUUGAUUGUUUUUAUUCUUUUUAAAUAAAUCAUUAUUUUCACAUUAUAAAUGUUUCAUAUUUAAUGGAAAAAUGAUUUUAUGAAAUUAGUUGUUUUUCAAGUUUAUGGUUUAAUUGAAAGAAUUUUGAAAACUUUGAAAUCAACAAAUAUUGCUUGAAAUUUUGGUGAAGGACUUAUUUGAAAAAGUGUCAUAGCAUUUUGGGCUAUAUCAUAAUUUCAGAAAGUUUUGGAAAUAGUAAGUAUUAUUUAGAAAUUCUGAAAUUGGAUUUAUCUGCUAAGUAUAUAACGUUUUGGGCCAUAGUACAGUUAUAUAAAAUUUUCGGGUCAAACUAUUAUUUUAUAAAAUAGUUCACUGUAGCAGUCACUGUAGCAGUUACUGUAGAAAACGGCGAUCCGACAUCUUGAUAACGGCUCGCCGACAUCUAACAGAAUUGAAGAUUAGCCUCUGAACCCAAACAGAGAUCCGACAUUUUUGAUAAACGGCCCGCCGAUAUUGAACAGAACUAAAGAUUAGCCUCUGGACCUAAAUGGCGAUCCGACAAUUUGAAAAUCCAGCCCAACGGUCAUAUUGACCGGUCAAACGGUGAUCCGACAUCUAGUUAACGACGAUCCGACAGUGUGCAGAAAGUUAAUAACGGCUAGUUUUCAGCUCCAACUAUAAAUAAGCUCAAUCCAAUUCAAACUAAGAGAUUCAAGAGUUAUCAUUGAGCUUGCUAUUGAGCAUAAAACUAUUAUUGAGCUUUAAACUUGUUUUUGUUUCUUUGAUUCACACAUUGAGCAUUCAUUUGUAAUCAAACACAUUGUGUGAGAGAAAAUUCAUUUGUAAUCUUUAUCCUUGAGAGGUUGUAAGUGUUGGGAUACACUUGGGUUAAGAGAUUGGGGAUAAUCUCUUGUUGUAAAGGUCCAUUGACACAUUGGAAGUCAAUUGUAAGCGUUUGAAGCCUUGGGAGGCUAGCUUAAUGAAAUCUUCAAGCCCGAUGAGUUUGGAGGUGUGGACGUAGGCGGAGAUUGCCGAACCACGUAAAAAUCCUUGAGUUUGCUUUCUCUUCCCUUGCUCAUUUAUUAUUGUGCUUUCAUUGAAUUUAUUGUUUUCGAAUUUAUUAAGGCAUUAGAUUGGUUUGUUGUGUGGUUUGCUUAGCUUAAUUUUUGAAAACCCAAUUCACCCCCCCCUCUUGGGUUACCUAGUUAGUAUUUCAAAAUUUAGACACAAUUAAUUUUAUCCUUUUGAUUAUAAUUGACAAAAGAACUUAAAAUUUCUCAAAUUUUAUGGCGGUAAUUGUGAUGCAUGAUUAUUUAGAAGAUUUUUUUUGCCUUUUUUUUUGGGGUACAAAAAGUGUGGGAGACUUUUGUAGGUCUUUGGUAUUUAGUCUUGGUGAUAGUGAUGUUUUUUAGUAAACGUUAGUUUUAGUGGUCCGCCGGCCGUGUCCCUUAAUUCAUCUUUUAUGUUUAAAUUUCAUCUAAGACCUUACACUUUCUUUAUUUAUAAAUUUUAUAAAUACUAGGAUACUUUACGCUUACAUUCAUAAUACGUUAGUGAGUUUAGGGUUAGGUUUGAUAUCAAAUACAUAUAUUGUAUUGUAUUAAUAUAAUUAAAAAAUUUAAUAACAUACUAUGUUUGGUGUAAUAUGAUUAUGAAUUGUAAAUUAUAUUUUGUUGUUAUUUGUUUAUUUAGCAUUAUGAACAAUAAAUUACUUGUUUAUUUAUAAGAACAUAUUUCACAUUAUAAAAUUUAUUUUAUAUUUUUAAAUACAUAGUAAAUUUGCAAAAUAAAACGAGUGUAAGAUGCUAUACGAAAUUAAUGAAUAUGAUAGAAUGAUUUAAUGAAUUAAACACAAAUUAUGUGGUUUGUUGCCGUAGGUGCAGCAAAGUCAUGGGUCAAUUGUAGGGAUGACAAUUGUGCCCGCAAACCUGUCCAAACCCGCCCGCUGCGGAUAAUUUUGCGGGUUACGGGUGGAUUUGGUAUUACAGGUGAGUUUGGUAUUACAAAUUGAAACCCGUACUUAGCUGCGGGUGAGUUUGGUAUUAGCCCAAUAUCUAGUGGAUAUCCGCUAAACCCGCAAUAUUUUUUAAAAAUAUUUUUAAUUUAAUUUUAUUUGAAAAAAAAUUUAAUCUAAAAAAUAUAUAAGGAAAAUAAUGCAAUUAUGCAAAGUGCCAAAUAAUCAAAGUGUUUUUGUACAAACUAUUUUUCUUUAACUUGAUGCAUGAAUUAUUUCAUUAUUAUAAUUUUUUCCUUUGGAUUAAUAUUUGAAAAGUAUUAUUCUUUGAAAAAUAUUAAUUUUAAUCAUUAUUGUAGGCAUCAUGUUGGAUGGGUGCUAAUAAUGGUGAAUGAAAUGAAGAUCUUCUCUUGGAGCUUGUGUUGAACGAUAAUAUGAAAUGUAAUUGUUAUUUUUAGAUACUAGUUUGUGAUUUUUUUAAUGGAUAUGUGUAUUUUAUACUUAAAUUUGAGAAUUUGUGUUGGAUUGAUGUUGAAAUUUUAAUUUUUCAUUUACAUUGGUUAAAUUUAAAAUUGAGUAUGUUAUGUGGAAUUUGAGACUAUUAUUAUACAUUUAUAUAUUGAACAUUUGUGAUUUUAAAUAUAGAAACUCGUAAAAAUUCCAUCAAAUACUAUUGCAAGUUUGGUAGUUGUCAAAACCUACAGCGGGCGGGUUUUCUUAAAAAAAUUAAAACCCGUUGCUGACAGUGUCCAUUACCAUCCCUACUCAAUUGUAAUAAUCUAAGUUUUUUUUUUUCCUUUUCCUUUACCGCAAUAGAACAAAUUCGGUUGGAUAUCUAAAAUUUGAAUGAUUUUUGCUUGAAACACAAGUCCGAAUCUCAUUAUUUACAAUAAUAAUUAAUAAAAACUAACCGCUGGAAUUU
This 56727-nucleotide long non-coding RNA is filed under the name Citrus x clementina. Its description in RNAcentral is "Citrus clementina (C. clementina) long non-coding RNA (CCLE_LNC001526)". The stretch from base 19954 to 20046 matches the Rfam family "Small nucleolar RNA Z103". The record is from RNAcentral. Lineage: Eukaryota; Viridiplantae; Streptophyta; Magnoliopsida; Sapindales; Rutaceae.